Molecule: long non-coding RNA, 64035 nt
Filed under: Panicum hallii
Lineage: Eukaryota; Viridiplantae; Streptophyta; Magnoliopsida; Poales; Poaceae
Description: long non-coding RNA (PHAL_LNC000308)
Source: RNAcentral
GGGGGGGGGUGGUGUUGAGGAACGUGGGCUGGGGGCGCCGCCGCGCAAAUAAUCUGUGUGUAUAGUGGCUGGUGGCGCCGUAGUUUCUUUUUCUUUUCUUUUUUUUUAAUCUUGGCUCGGUCGACUUAUUAAUUAUUUUUUAUUUCUUUGUUCCAACCAUUUUUGUAAGAUGAUGAAGAAAUGGAUUCGAUUGGUGUACUAGUAGUGCUAGUGCUGGAAGGGAGUGGAAAUGUCGAGGAGCAAAUGAUUGGUGCCGCUUGAUGCCUCGCGGCGCCGCGCGCUGUGAUCCCCUUUCUCUUCUUUUUUUCCCCCCUCUUUUUUUUGUGCCCGACGCGAGGGGGGGAGGGAAUGGAAUCGCGCGGGUCGUGCGCGCGUGCGUGGAUUCUUGGGACGUGUACGCAUCCAGAUCUGGAGGUGGAACCGCGAGCCUGCCGGCGGCGUCGGGUGUCCCGUGCCCCCCCUGCGACAUGGGAGAAGCCUGUGCGGCGGGUUGGCUGGUGAGCGGUGACGUCCGCUGCUGUCCCUCGCCUGGGCAGCUGGGCUCCCCCAGCUCGUGCGGCGGCCUGCCGAGUUCCAGGCUACAUCCAGCUGCGAGAAGACACGGCACAGUACAUCCAGGGAGUAGGUUGGAUGACAGGGCACGGUAGAUCACUAGAUCUGCUGGUGGGUCGUCGGUCGGUCGGUGCGGUGGGGAUCCCGGCGGGGUUCUCGUGAUUCGAGCGAGGUCAACGGGUGUCGGGGCAUGCCGUGGUUACGUGCGCGCAGCGACGACCCGUGGAGGUGGAGGCGCGCGCUUUGGCCUCGGCGGGGUUUUCUGCGGUGGAUGGCCGGCACGGCGGCGUGCCUGCGUGCGUAGCGGUAGCUGGGUCAGGGCCGGCGGGACAUCGUCACGGGCGGGUCUUGCGCGAUCGGAUCGACGACGUGGCUGCGGGGAUCAGGUCACGAUCGCAAGGAUCGCCACCGAUGAUGCGAGAGAAUGGCGUCCGACCUCUAUGAGAGGAUGGGCACAAAGGAAAACGAAACAACCGCGAGCGAGAUGAGCAGCGGAAGCAACCAUCCUUUACGACCCACCGCCCUGAGCGCUGGGGAAUGUCUUCUGCGGCAAAAAUGCAUCCGCACCUUUUCUCAUGUGACUGCGAGUGGGUACGUGGCUUUUUCUCUGGCUUUGCACGAGAAGAAGAUUCGUGGCGCGGCGCUUGCGAUGUGCGGUUGGGUCGGUUCCCCAAGCAGGCAUGUGAUGCGUGUGUGAUUGCCGCCUGAUUGGGUCGUCGGUUCUUGGGGACGCACAUAUCCGUCAUGGCUUCCUCCAGUUGGGCUGUGACAGGCCCAAAGAGAGCACGACCUUCUUUCUGGCCCACUAGGUGUUGAGUGAGGGAGAAGUACAAAAGUGCCAGUCCAAUGGACGCACACGGCGUCUAUGUGUCGGCCGAAGUGAACCUUUGUCGGCUUUUCUUUUCUGGACCAGGCCGCCCGGUGCUCCGCCUGCCUAGCCGGCCUGGAGAAGAGUCCGAUAUUGUAGUGCCGCGGUUGCCACGGGCAAUCAACCAGCCCAGCCCAGCCGACGCACGGCUUUGCCCCGGGCGAGCGGCAGCGGGCGCACACGUGCCGCGUUCCAACAAAACGGACAGGGAGCCCUGGUUGUGUUCACGCGGCACGAUCGAUCAUUUGCUUCCAGCUGAGGCUUUUCUGUAGGAGACGCAGUACUAAUGGAAAGGCGCCAGCAGCAACGAAACAAAAGAAAAAAAAGGAGAAGACGACACGUCGACACCGGCCGCGGCCAGUCGGUGAUGACAUGAGUCCUCGUCGCCAUGACUCGCCGCUAGUCACCGCUACGAUGACGUGCUGACAUGAGCACUACCGUACGUACGGCGUGCCGUAUUACUGUACUCGUCUACUCGCACACCGUAUCCCCAACGCGUACGCCGUACGUUCGUACGGCCAUGUGACGCUGGCAUGGUACGCCACGCCGUGCGGUCCGUUGGGAGUCGAGACAACGGAACCAUCUCGCUCGUCUCGGCGAGUAUGGGGGAGGGUGACGGCGUUAUUCAUUACUGCCCCCGCAGGCAGAUUUACCACCCAGGCCAGCACCGUAGUUUUCGUUGAAUCAUGAACAGGAAUCGUGCGAGGACUGUACCACACAGGCAAAGCCAACCCCUUCAGAACAAAAAUAGCCCGGGCGGUGGUCCACAACGAGCAGAGCAGGUCCCAAAACCCUCUUUUUUUUAAAGGGCGAGCAGGUCCCGGAACUAACGGCGCCAUAAAGAGCACGGUACCGGUGCUCAACCGUCCAUCGCGUCACCCCCCCCCCCCCCCCCCCCCCCUUGCAAUUCUUUCGCGACGAGAAGCCACCUUUUUCGCUCCUGCGCGUAACGCUGUCCCGUAACCCCCGCGCAAGUUGGCGUGAUCACGCGAUUAGGGAGGGCAUCAGGAGCCGAUGCCAAGUCUCUCGGUUCACACUUGACAGGGAGCGUGGGCACUCGGUGCUCGGUGCCCCCUUCUUUUUUCCUGAGAUGGGGCACUCGAUGCCGAUGCCAUUCUCCGUUUGGCAACACGGAACACACGAGCGUCCUUUUUCUACGAUGGCCUGCAGCCAGCUCAAGGACACGAAUUGCGCCCCGAGGCACAAAGCGUGCUCUGUGCUUGCCGAGAAGUUUUUUAACUCCUUUUUUUUUCCUUUCUCGACGCUCCGGUGCAAAGAACUCCUGGUACCUGUGCACAGCCGAUAAAGCUAGUGUAACAACAGCCGCGGCCGCCGAGACAGGCAAGACCGGCCACCGGACUGCGAUCACCGACCGCGAUCUGCCGAACUCUUGCUCCAAUCCUUCCAUGCCCCCUGCAUGCAAGGAACGCUCGCCAACGAACCGGCCUGUCACCGUACGGCUACGCCCACCGAAACUCGCCCGCGUCCAGCCGGGCCAACCAACCCCAGACCUACCACAUCCACCCCCAUGAGUGCGAGAGGACCAACCGGCGGAAGCUACCCAAUCUCGUCGAGCUCCCAUGGAAACGAGGAAGAACGACGAGGCACUUCGCAACCCGGCUACUCGUGUCGUGCGGUCAUGCCACCCACACCAAACCUGCUCCACCCCACUUGGAAGUGGCGGCCCGACGACAGCCGCAGCCCACCGCGCGCUCCGGCGCCACCUGCCGCGCACCAUUCACGCGCCGCCGCGCCGGGAGCGAGGUCGCGGCUCGCGAGGGGAUUGCCAGCCAGGUCAGGUCAGGGUUGAGACUUGAGAGAGAGAGAGAGAGAGAGAGAGAGAGAGAGAGAGAGAGAGAGAGAGAGAGAGAGAGAGAGAGAGAGAGAGAGAGAGAGAGAGAGCGAGCGAGCGAGCGGAAUGGAACCCAUUCGGUCGGUCGGCCGGCUCGGGCCCCCGGCGUGGCUCCCCACGGGUGGCUGACUGGGCAGGCGGCCCAACACCACCUCGAAAGGCUGAAACGGUGAAGGGGGCCCCGCCACGUGAUGGCAUAGGAUCCUCUGCGCCCCCGCCGCAGAUAGGAGCGGCAGCGGCUCAUCAUUCCCUCGUCAGUACGCCUCGGCGGCAGGGUGAUUUCCCAGGAUCAUUGCCGGGAGAAGGCAACAACAGAAGCGCGUGGUCACCGGGUGAGCUGCCAGGACCAGGAGUAGCUUUGCCAGCCCAACGAUCUCAAGACGAGGAGCUCGCAUCCUAGAUGCUGGGCCCUGUCUACGUGGAACCUACGCCAACUUGGAAUGCCAAUCUUCUCUACAAGUUCUCUUGUGAUGCCACCAUCGAUGCUACUCGCAUGUACACGUACUUGUACAAAAUACAAGUAUCAUACUAGAAAAUACUUGUGGAUUAAUACGGAGUAGUAUGCAUCAACAAACCAUGGCAAUGUGCGUCACUGUUCCUACUUUUAUGAGUCCCUGUCCUUGCCCAUCAGCCCCCAUCACGCCCGUUUUCAGGACGGGCAGGCUCUAUACGUGGCAGGCGACCAAUGAAUGUUCCAACUGCAAUCCCCUCCCGCCAUCAAUUCCAAUCAGACGGCUGGCAAAACACAUGCCGCAUUUCCGACGCGAUCGGGCGACGGGCGCCUUUAUCAUCGCGUCCGCUCUGACCCGUAGCGACGCCGUCCACCCUCUUCCUGGCGAGCAGCAAGUCCAGCAAACAAAACCCGGGCGAAAAUCCUCCGCCGCCCGCUCGCGCCCGCCUCGCCGCCAAUCCCAAUCCGGCAAUCCCUUCCAAACCGACGCGGCCCCCCUUGCCUGCCCUGCCUUGCUCCCCCCGCGCGACCAGGCUCGCCCCUCGCGCUCGCACACGCGGGCGGGCGCAUGCGAGGCCACACCGCGCCCGGCCCCAGGUAAGCGCCUCCCCACCCCCGCGCCCGGCAAUGUCGGCGCACCUCUCGCCGCCCCACCGCCCAUCCCUCGCCGCCGGGGACGCCAAGAAGCAGACGCACCUCGGGGCCGACCCCAGCAGGAGGACCUCCUCCUCCUGCUUCGGCGGCGGCGGCGGCGGCGGCGGCGACCACAGCAGCCCCAAGAAGCCCGGGCCCUCCGCGGCCAAGCUCGCGCUCGCGUCCUUCCUCGGCGUCAUCGUCCUCCUCGCCGCGGACGCCUCCCUCGCCGGCGCCGGAGCGCACCGGCGCCUGCGGCGCCAGUACCUGCGCUACGUCGGCAGCGCGGGUGGGGGCGGGAGCGCCGGCUCUUCCUCGUCCGCGUGGCUCUCCGUGCCGGACCGCACCAACUUCACCGACGACCUCCUCGCGCGGUGGCUCGCGCCGGGGGGCUCCCCGUGCCGGGACGCGCGCACCGCCAACAUCUCCGUCCCGGUCCUCGACGGCGCCGCGGCGAGGGGGGAGGUGGCGGAGCUCGGCGCGGGCGAGAUCCACGAGUUCACGUUCUGGGCGCUGGACGACGCCGGCAGGCGGCGCUGCCUCGGCGGGGACUACUUCGAGGUGGACCUCUCCGGGGCCGCGUGGAAGUCGCGGCCCCCCGUCAUGGACCGCGGCGACGGCUCCUACUCCGUCCGCCUCCAGGUCGCGCCCCGCUUCGCCGCGGGGGAGUUCCGCCUCACCGUCGUCCUCCUCUUCCGCAGCUUCGAGGGGCUCAAGUUCUCCUCCGCCAGGUUCAAGUACCGCGCUGAGCUGCGCCGCAUCCCACUCCUGUUCCGGCCGGACAGCAACGUGUCGCUCCCGGCACUGGAGGUGUGCCGCGCCGCGGACUUCGCGCGCGACGCCUGGUCCGGCCGGUGGACGCGGCUCGCCAAGAACGACGACUGCGAGGACGUCGACGCCGCGGGCCGGUACCGUUGCCUGGAGCCGGACCACCCGUGCGAGGCCCCGUGGUGCGACGGCCCUCUUGGCGCGCUGGAGAGCAACGGGUGGGUGUACUCGGCGCACUGCUCCUUCAGGCUCUUCGCGGUCGACGCGGCGUGGCGGUGCCUCGAUGGCAAGUGGCUCUUCUUCUGGGGCGACUCCAACCACGUCGACACCAUCCGGAACCUCCUCACCUUCGUCCUCGGCGUCACGGACACGUCCGUCGUGACGCGCCGCUUCGACGCCGUGUUCACGAACCCCAGCGGCGGGCCGGGGACUCUGAGGAUCACGAGCAUCUUCAACGGCCACUGGAACAUGAGCAUGAACUACCUCGGCCUGCAUUCCCUCCGGAACAGGGGGUUCCGGCAGCUAAUCCGGUCCUACUUCAUGUCCGGUGACCGCGUCCCAGAUGUCGUGAUCCUCAACUCCGGCCUGCACGACGGGUGCUACUGGACCAGCGUCCGCGCCUAUGCCCAGGGCGCCGAGUUCGCAGCACAGUUCUGGUCGGAUGUCAUGGCUAAAGUGCGUGCUCGUGGCCACGCCGUGCCGAGGGUGUUCUACCGUACUACGAUCGCGACUGGGGGGUAUGCUAGGGACCUGGCAUUCAAUCCAAGCAAGAUGGAGGCGUUCAAUGGCGUGCUCGUUGAGAAGAUGAGGCGGCAUGGGGUGCUCACUGGUGGGGUGAUCGACAAUUUCGACAUGACAUUCCCAUGGCACUAUGACAACCGCUGCAAUGACGGUGUGCACUACGGGCGCGCACCGGCGAGGCUGGUGUGGCGGGAUGGCAAGAUUGGGCACCAGUAUUUCGUGGACCUGAUGCUGGGCCAUGUGCUCCUCAAUGCCAUCUGCAAUGGAUGAGAAUUGCGGGUUCCAUGCUCUGUAAGUUUCUGGUGCUCAAUUGUAUAAACUAAAGUUAGGCUGGUUAGGGAGCUGAAUUUGCCAAGACGAGGUAUAGAUACACGGUUGCAGAGUUCAUGUGUACAUCAGAUGUGGGAAGAGAGAGGCGAGUGGGGGUUUUAGCUGAAGCAAUUUGUAUGGUCAGACAUCUGAUCUUUCAGCUAUGCUACUGACCUGAUCUUGCUCUAGUGGGCAAGGAAGAUUGAGAAAUCGAUCGGAGCUACCUAUGAGGAAGAUCAGGUACAUGUAAAUAUAUAGCACGACUAUUCGAGGAGGCUUUAUGCUGUACAAAUCAGUAGGUUCAAUGAUUCUGUUCAGUGCUAGUUUACUUUCUUAGUAAUGCUCUGUUCUGUUCGGUUCAUUCUUCUUUGUGAUUGUGCGGGUUAGCUACUAUCAGGUAAAGAAAUGCCACUGUCUGGAGCGCGCUGCAGAUGUUUCCCUGUGUGCUCGAAUUUCAUGUGUUUUAGGUAAAGUAGCAGCAUGUGAUAAGCAGAAAAGGACAGUCAGUGGAAUUACUUUUGAGUGCAAUGAGUGGUGACCAGAAAUUAUGAUUGCAAAGCUAAUGUGUUGUUCGGAGUUUUGUGAUGCUGUCAGUCUAAUAAUCUGGAAAGUAACCUUUUCUGAUCUAAAGUUCGAAACUCUUAGCAACAUGCUAAAAGCAUCAUAUUAUUGCCAAAGACAGGUUCAUGAAGAGGUCCGCUCGAUGCAUACGGAAAUUCAGUUGACUAGAUUGUACAUUACACAAACCGAGUAGGUCAUAUUGUAUAAUAUAUGGUCGUGUAAGUGUAAUGUUACAGUUUGUUUCAUUGCUCUCUGUCUGACCUCAGCUGCAAACAAGCGAGUAUAGUAAACAUUCGGUAUGGUGGUGGAUUGCCUUCAGGUCAUCCUGCAUUUGCUCCAAGCCUACCCCAGUUUGCUUGGGACAAAAGGCUAAGUUGUUGUUGUUGGUGGUGGUGUUUUAUUUCUUGUGUGCAGCUCAGUCUGUUCAGACUUCAGGGCUGGCUUUUCUCUCUUGUGGAAGACGAGUCUAGUCUCAUAAACUGAUAAGCAGAAAAGGGCAGGCGAUGAAACAAAUUUGAGUGCUAUGAGUUGUCGUCAGAAAUGUGAUUGUAAAGCUUUAUGCAUUUCGAAAAUGUUGCAGUAGCGCCGUAGUGGCGACCGUAUAAUGUGAAGAAAGCAAAUAUUUCCCUUCCCGCUGAAAGUUCAAGCCUCUUAGCAUUCUAGCAACAGGCAUGCUAUAACUUCGGAUGGCUGUAAAAAAAUAUAGCAAGACAGGUCCAGGAAUCUUUUGCUCCAACAAGGACACAGAGGCUUAAUGUACACGCAGUCUGAGUAGGUCAAUUUAACCUAUAGAUGCCCAUGUUCAGCAGGUCAGAUGAAUUCUAGUGUGACAUCCACACCCUUCGUUUCAUUUGUUCGUUGUGUGACAAGCAAGUUCCAAACAAAGCAAGAACAGAGGUUCUGCCCGGUGUGGUUGCUUUAGCUUCGGGUGUCCCUAAAAACAAAUCCCGUUUGGGCCCCGUUUCCUUUUUCCACUUCCCUUAAGUGAAGCAAGGGUUGAGGAAAGGAUCCACAAUUCACAAAACUUCCAAAGCUAAAAGCAAUAGAUGUUUAGUAUCUAAAAAGUAAUACAGCGAGAAUCUCUAAAAUAAAAUAAUAAUAAGAUCUGAGUUGGUGUUUUGUUUUUGUGUGCAGUCGUGAACCUGAAUAUGAGCAGGAGACCGCCAGAGAGGCGUUGUGCCCGUGAAUUCUUUUACGGUUUGUUCGUUUCCUAGAAAUCCCUGGAGCUUUGUGUCACUAGUAAUCUAAUCAAAUAUAUUACUAAUGAGCAGGGUCAGGGAGAGAAUCUAGGGGGCACCGACGUCGAGAGCCUGCUAAUCUGGUAGGCGCUCUUCCCAGCUUACCAAGCCAUGUGUCACAGCGACAGGCAACAUGGGGUGGGUGACUCUUGACAGCGACGCCCACAACUCCGAGAGAGCGAGGGGGGGGGGGGGGGUGGGUUGUUGGUUAGCUGAAGCCGAAGCCAGCCAUCAAUAUGGUCAAAACAUCUGAUCUUUCAGCUUUGCUAGUGGCCUGAUGCUGCUCGUGUAGGCACUAGGCAAGGAAGAUCGAUCACUCGAUCGGAGCCACCUGUGACUGAAAAUCAGGCUCAUGUAACUAUCCAGUACGUCUGUUCGAAGAGGCCUCAUGGCUCAUGCUGUACGCCUGUACAGAUUCAGUAGGCCGCGUUAUGUUGUGCGGUGCUACUUUUACUACCUUGUGCAACGUUCGGUUUCUGUUCAUUGUUGUUUGUGAUCGUUUGGUCUGCAGCUGUCAGGUAUAUGCUAGUACAGAAAGUCAGAAAUGCCAACUGUUUUUCCUUUUAUAAAUAAAUGCAGACUGGUUCGGGUGCUUUACAGAUGCUUCUUUGAGUGCAAAGAGAGAUGAUCAGAAAUGUGAUUGUACAGCUAUGUGUCUUCCCACCCCUAAUCUGCAGUUGCAGUCUAUUAAUCUGGCAAGUAGACUUUUUCUUAUCACAAGUUGGAAACUCCUAGCAACAUGCUAAUAGCAUCAGGUACUUGGCAAUUACAGUAUAUAGCAACACAAGCUUCCCAAAAAAAAUGUACUAGCAAGCCAGGCUGGGGAACCUUUUGUUCAGACAAGGUUCAGGAAGUGGCUCAAUGCAUACGCAAAUUCAGCUGCUUAGAUUGUAUCCUACACAACCUCAGCAGGUCAGAUUGCACCCUACGGAAUUGCAGAGUUCAGUUGUCUCGCUUCUGCUGCAAACAAGCAAGUACGGAGAAAAACACCACAUUGGAGGUGGAGUGCCUUGAAGUGUUUCGUUUGCACACUUGCCCACAGUUGGUGCUUCGUGCGUGAGUGAAGAAACAGUGACGAUUGGAGAAGGGCCAGAUGAACCGAUGUUCUGUUGUUGGGUGCAAAGUUCAGACAUCAGGGGUGGGCCGUGUCGUCCGUGUGACGAACCGGAUUUUCAAAUGAGAACCCGACUCUCGGUAUCGUGGUGAUAGUAGCUAUCACAUACAAAACUCAUCUCAGCCAGAUAUUAUAGUCAUAUAUUGCAUAGAUUCAUUAUAGUCAUAUAUCGCAUAGAUUCAAAUAUGGAUUUAAUUAUUACAUAAUUUGAAAAAUUAUAUUAUGAGUUUUCUAGUACAAGCCUCUUGGGAUGGAGUGAAACAAUCAGAAAACGGAAAGGGUAGCUAACCUUCUAAGCCAUCCUCCAUCUUGGGAGAACACUCCUCCACAGGCAAAUUUGAGCGGGGCACGAGUUAUCCUUGAAUCAUCCUUCUUAGUCGGUGUUACGCUUCGGGUCAAAUCCUGCAUCUACCAACUAUCCCCAAGGUGUGGAAUAGGUUCACGUCACCAUCCGUAUGCAAGCUUUAAGUGGACUAUACUAAAGGUAUAUCAAAAUCAAGGAGGAAAGCUGGAGUUUCCUAUGCAUAAGCAUCAUCAUAAGUUAUAUCAUCAUCCAAACUCCGAAAUCAGGCCAUUCUGCCAUCCCGGACUCCCGGUUCACACACACCUUCCAAAACCACCGAGUCGGUGCGAGAACUCAAACUCCUCGCACCUCAGCUGCCCCAAACAGGAAGUCAACACUAGAGGGAGGUAGAAAGUAUGAGUAACACUAAUUAAUAAGAGUUACAGAAGAGUAGGGUUGUACAUGAUCGAGUACGCGGCUAUUCGUAUAGUUUUCACCCUGCAGGAGUUGUACACCUGUGCUCACUCGAAUUGAAGCUAGCCAGGAGCGAUCCAACUUAACGACGAGACACCGGUCUACUGAUAUAUAAACUAGUAGCCUGGGUACCAUCCGGCUUUCCCAGAUCUUGGGCGCAUCCUCCCGCAAGAGGUCGCUCCGGGACUGUGAAGCCUCCCUUGCGUCUUGGAGAACGUGAGGUCAGCACCUCCUCCCCCUGCACCGAUACUCGAUCCUCUUACCGGCUUGGUACCGUACUUGCUAGUCCCAGACCGGACUCACCCUUAUAAUGGGUAAGUGGUGUGCACGUUUAACAAAGUCCCACUAAUCAUAGUUACUCCCAACAGGACCUCAUAUGCCGAAGCGAGUAUAUUCACAUGCAUAUCCACCGCAAUGGUCCACAACUGCACCCAUUACGGGUACCACCAACUUCUCAAUAAGUAACCUCACAAAGGUGCACCCGCCACAGGUGCUCCGUAGAGUGUGCCAAGAUACACACUCCAAGCUCUCGAUCCAAAGAUCGAGUUAAGUUCACUCGCUUCUGGCUAAAAACCCUUAUUCACCAACUCCUAGAAAGUGUAUCUCCACUCAAGCCAAGACUAUCAUGGAAUCCCACACUUACACAUGCAAGGCAUAGCAAGGCAUCUCAUAUAAUUUUCAUGUGUAUAGCAUUGCACAUGCAAGUGUAUAGGAUUGCAAGAAGUUCAGGUAAAUAAAAUAAGCUAUGCAGAUUCAUCUCAUCAUAACAUAAAGUAAACCAUAGCAUAUCUAGCAAGCAAUGCCUAAUAGGUAUUCACAUCGUAGAUGGGCGUGAAUCUAGCGUCUCUUCGUAGUAUUCUCGGUCCUCCUUGUAGUCCUGGUCAUCCGGGAAAUCGUCGUGGUGUUCUGGUCAUCCGGGACGCCGAUCAGCUCCUCCUCGCAGGGGUCUAAUCGUAAUUAUGUAUAAGUAUAGGGGCCAAAGUGCAAAAGUGCAUAAAAGUACUCAAAUAAGAUCCAAAUCACAACAAAACCUACUUUAACGGGCAGAUCAUGAUUUUAGAAGAAUUAUGAAACUGGUUGCAUAAUUUUUGGAAGUUCUGGUUAAUUAAUUAUGAAUUUUCUAAGAUUAAAUCAUUUUCUAAAAUUAAUAAAAGGUUUUGAAAAAAGAAAACACAUUGCCAGCACCACUGUCAGCACCAGGGUGUGCCCCGUGGCAUGCUGACGUCAGCAGGUGGGUCGGGUUUGCUGACGGCAGCAGUGGGCCCUGCUGACGUCAGCGUUGACUGGUCAACGCUGGCCAGUCAACGGUCAACGGUCAGGUGGGUCCAUGGGUCAGGGGGUCCUGCUGAUGUCAGCGUUGACCGGUCAACAUUGGACAGUCAACGGUCAACAUUCAGGUGGGUCCAUGGGUUAGUGGGUCCCGCUGUUCAGUCACACCAUGUCCCUAACAAAUGGGCCAGCUCGGCUAUCAGGCCGUGAUCUGCUCUCUCCCUUACUCCUCUCCUCUCUCUCAUAGGAAGGGCCCGUAGGGCAACGGCUCUUGCCGCGCGCUGACAGGCGAGGGCCACUAGUUAGUGGCUCGCCGGAUCCGAUGUUGCAGCGCCCGGAUCUGGUGCGGUAGCUACGCGUGUGUGUGAGUGCGUGUGUGUGGCGGGUGUGCGGGCUGUGCGGGAGCAUCCCGUGGGUGUUCGACGAAAGGCCGCACUGGCCUGGUCGCGACACGAACGCGAUGUCACGGCCGCGCAUAGGUGGUGACCGCGCAUGGCGAGGCCGUGGCGAGGCAAGCACGGCUCGAUGGGAAACAGGCCGGCCUUUGCUGCGGUGAUCUCGUACGCACGUGAGUCCCUGGCCUCCCAGGGUCGCAGCGCGACGGCAGGGCCAACGACGGCGAGGUGGGGAUGGUGGCAGGGCGGGCACGACAAAGCCCAAGGCGGGGCCUUGGCUAGUUAGGCGGAUGUGCACGGCGGCGCGCGGCCUCCUGGUGUUCCAGGGCCACGGCGCUGAGGCGGGACGGUGGCACAGCGAGGCAGGGGCAAGACUUGGCCCUUGGGGCCAGCGGCUUGGGUGUACACGCAUGCGCGCGGGUCCUGGUAUCCUAGGACUGCGGCGUGGCUGUGCCGAGUGCGGGGCACCGGUGCUCCGGGUCCAUGGCACGGUGCAGCGGCCGGGGGGGGGGGGAGGGGGGGGGAGGGGGGCGGCGUCUACAGGAAACAUGGCGGCAUGUCGGGCUCCUGCACGAGAAGGUUAUAGGACAAGGGAUUCUAGGAACAUCUAUUGGAAGGCUCAUCGACGACGGCGAGCUCGUCGGCAGCAUGGGUGUCUAAGGCAUGGCAGCGGCGCUGGCUUACCGGCGGCUCGGGGAAGCCAAGGGGCGGCGCAAGGAUGAGGCGAUGCCGUGGUGAGGUGAGACUAUGCAGGCAGCGCGACAACGGUGAUGUCGCCGCACGAAGUGAUGGCGUGGUAAAGUCCCUUGAUGUCGGUAUCCUCCUCCCCUCCGGGCUCUUCCUCGUCUUGCUUACUGGCAGCAGCACCGACUCGGGGCAGCGGUGGCUCGGGCGACUCCUCCUCUUCCCUCCUUUCUUCUUCUUCCCUCUUUCCUUCUCCCUCUCUUCUUCUUAGGUAUGGCGUGACGGAAAGGGAAGAAACCCCGAGGGUACUAGGGUUUGCGGGCGGUGGCCUUGGGUCUUUAUGGAUGGCUCGCUAGGGUUGGCGCGGUCGGGAGCGAGAGGACGUUGGGGAUCCUCGGCGUCCGAGCUGAGGACGCGUGGCGUGGAUCCGAGGGGUCCCGGGCUAUGGUUCGGGCGCGGAUCACGUGCGUGCAGGUGGUCAAGGCAGCGCAUGGGUGACAUAGGUGGGCGCGGCGUGGCCGUUGGGCUCCUGUGUCGCGACGCGGAGGCGAAGCGGCACAGGGCAGGGUGAGCGAGCGAGGAGCGGUGCUAGUGCGGGAGCAGGCGAGGCACGGGGGGUGGGUGCCAGCACGGCGGCGUCGCCGGUGCGGGGUGCGGCGCGGCUGUAGGUAGGAGAAAGGAAAGCUGACAGGUGGGGUCCACCUAUCAGUGACCCGAGGGUAAAGGGGGCGAGUGGGAGGCGGCGGCUGAUGUUGAGCUAGGGUAGUGGCGUGGGACUGGGCCGGCCUGUGGGCCGUGCGGGCAGGUCGGGUUUCGCGGGCGGUGAGCAGGCCAAACUUGGCGUGCAGCCACCCGGCCAGUUGGGUUGGGCUGGUUUUCGGUAGGGUAGGGUAGGGUCAUGGUUCGGUCUUGGGUUAGGGUUGGGCUGAGCAGCGGAUCGGGUUAGGAUAGCGGGUUCAGUUAGGGUAGUUAGCUUUUGAAUUCAAAUUCGAAGGGUACACUUCGAGUUUGCAUUCCACUCAAAUUCAAUCAUUCAAAAUAAAUUCAAAUAAACAAGAUAGCUUCAAUUAAAUCCCAACAACUCCAAAUAAAUUCAUACAAACAGAUUAGUCCUUCACUUAUAUUAGAUUUUAUUUUGCUAGGAAUUUGAAAUCCAAGAAAUAUAUCCUUAUAUUAUCCUUAGGUUCUGACACUUAGAUAAAAAGUUUUUGAAAUUCAUAAUUUUUGUAUCUUAGAACAUUCCGGAAUAAAUUCGAGAUGUUACAGUCGGCGAGCAUGAUUUGUGCGGAGGGACAUGAGAGGCAUUGCGCCUGCAUCAUGAGUUCGCUAGUUCUCUGGAUCAGAAUCUUGCUCCGUGCCACUUGUAAUCCGGUAUCAUUAUCGUAAACUAAUGAGCAGAAAAGGACAGGCGGUUUCCAGUGCCACGAGUCGCGAUCAGAAACACGAUCGUAAAGCUCUUAUGCAUUUUCCAAACUUUGCUGCUAGUACCGUCGUGGCGAUCUUAUAAUGUGGGAUGCAGUUUUUUUUUCCUGAUCACAAGUUCAAAACCGUUGCCAACAUGCACUCUAGUGAAAGCUGUAAAAGUACUAAAAUACAACAACCUCAGGAAUCUUUUGCUGAAACAAAGGCUAGUCGAGGAAGACGCUUAGUGCGCACGCAAGUUCAGCAGGCCGGAUUGUGCAGUGAACUAGUGAAGCGUAACAUUCCAGUUUGUCAGGUCUUCUUAUUCCACACGCUCCCGUUCCGUUCUGUUUUUCCAAGUGAUGCGUUUGAGAGAGCGUGAAAAGACCAGAUCGACAGGCAAUGUGUGUGCCUGCGGAUUCUUGUAUGCUUUUGUUCGUUUCCCAAAUUCGAAUCGAGCUGCGUGCCGCGAUGAUCUAAGGUCAGAUAUAUUCUAAUGAUCCGCGGACGGCGAGAGAAUUCAUCAAUGGCACCGACCUCGAGAGCCCAAGAUUAAUCUGGGCAGGAGCAGCCGAGUCCCAGUCACCGCCGCACGGAGUGUGCAGCCGUCUUGGUUGAUCCGCAGCGCUCCGCUCCUCCGUCCCAGCCUGUCUCGGCGACGGGUACAUGGGCUGGGGUACCGGGGUGACACUGACAGCGCACCCUCAGGUCAGGCCACAGCCCGGUAUUCAGUGGCGUACUGGCGUGGAAGGGUGGAAUCGAAUUCUUUUUUUUUUUGGCGCGUGGAUGCCUGUGGUGUACUCCAAAAGUGAGAAAGCAGACCGUAGAAUGUAGGCCAUGUUAGCAGCCGGGAUGGGCCAACCGCGGCCCACGCUGGGCUUGGCUGUGUUUCUCUGGGCUGGAUCAGAAGCGGCUGGGCGGCCCAUAUCGUACGACUCCGCCGCUACCAUGGACCUUCAUGGGCUCAUGAUAAAGGAACAAUGCAACAAGUGACGAAUAAUUGGCAUUGGCAGAAGGGCUUUGGCGACUUCGGCGGCGAUCGACACCGACGAAGGUCUUUGGCUCCUCUGGUCAUCUUGUUGCGAUCUGCUCUAAGCCUCUAACUGUUGCUCUGCUCGGGCUGACAAAGGGACUGGCUUUGCCCGGUUACCCGGCCUUGGCGCGGUGCAGUAGGGCACGUGGUCGAGAUUGAUCUAGGGUUCAGGGAUGGCAACAUCGUCAAACUCGAAGGCAAGGAGGGAUGAAGGUGAUUUGGAUGAUCUCCUCCGGAAGCUGCAGCUCACUAAAGCAGAACGUGAGGGAGUUUUCCUAGCAAAAGCAGACAGGGAGGGUUUUCCAAAAGUCAAGUGGAUGGCGGCGGCAAAGCUGUUGACGAUCAAGGAUUUUAGUGAAGCCUCGCUAGCAUCUACGAUGCGGUCGGCAUGAAAUGCGGCGCGUGAAGUGGUUUUCCGUUCAAUAGGGAAGAACCUGUUUAUUGUUCAUGCUUUUUGUUUGGGAGACUGGAAGCGUAUUAUGGAGGAAGGCCCAUGGUUUUUGCGUGGAUGCGCCUUGAUGUUGGAGGAAUUUGAUGGGUUGACAACGAUGCCGAAGGUGAUGCCACACAAGGUGCCUGCAUGGAUCCAGCUUCACAAGGUCCCGCUACUAUAUCGAUCUGAAUCAAUCCUCAAACGAUUGGCCGGUAGAGUGGGAGGUCCGAUAACAGUGGAGAUGAGGGCAGCCGUUUUAAAUAGAGGUGAUUUUUUUCGAGCAAGGGUGGAGUUGGAGGCUGGGAGACCUUUGGUGAGAUUUGUAACACUUACACCAGAGGGAUGUGAGAGCUUAUUGAUCCCUGUGAAGUAUGAGAAGAUAGCUCGUUUUUGUGCACAUUGUGGCUUGAUGGGCCACGACCAUCUUGAGUGCGGCAGUGGAGAAUUUUUGGAGGAGGAGCUUCAGUUUUGGGACUGGAUGAAAGCUGGCGAAGAAUUAUGGCGUCCAGGAACUCCUCGGGUCAGAAAUACUCCAAUGCUGAUCGUGAGGUACCCAGGGGAAGGGACCAGGGGGCGUUUGAGCGUGGUGGACGCUCAACUGGACGGUACGCUAGGGGCUGUUCUCGGUUCCCUAAUGUCUAUGCUGGCCGAGGCACACAGUGGAAGGAGAAGGAGGCAACCAGCUAGGAUUCACGCAAGAGAAACUCCGAAGAAGCUGGGCUGGGAACCGAGAGAGAGGAUGAGCUGGGGGAUACUGCAACUAGUCCGGCCAAGCCCACCGCGCAAUCUUUUGAAGCAAGGAAAGAGAAGCCAGAAGCGUAGAAGAAACUUGUACUGGACAUGGCUCCCAAGGAGAAACUAGCUCCCGAUGGUGUGCCCCCGCAACCGCCGAAGUAUAUUUCACCAAGGGAACAAAAGCGUUUCUGGAAGGAGGCCAAAGGAAAACAAGCGGAGAACAAUGAGGCGGGCUCCGAGGAGGAGCGCCGCUAGGCACAAUGAGUUGCCUAAGUUGGAACUGUCGCGGGCUUGGCAAUGCCGCGACAGUUAAAGAGCUUCGCGAGCUGGCGAAGAAGUUUGCCCCAUCAGUGUUGUGUGUUCUUGAAACCCAAGUUCACAAGUCACGAGUGGAAGGUUUGAAGCGGAGUUUAUGUUUUGAUAAUUCUUUUGCUGUAAGCAGUAGCGGUCGCAAUGGCGGCCUAGGAAUUUUUUGGAACAAUGAUAUAAAGGUGGAUUUGUUACCGUAUUCACAAUACCACAUUGAUGCCAUUGUUACUGAAGGGACUAAUGGACCCUGGAGACUAACCUGUGUGUACGGUGAAGCAUAGACAAAUGAAAGACACAAGACAUGGGAUAUGCUGAAAUUUAUCAAGACAUCGUCCCAUCUACCAUGGGUGUGUCUCGAUGAUUUCAAUGAAGUUUUACAUCAAUCGGAGCAUGUGGGAGUGCAAGAUAGAAGUUUUUCACAAAUUGCAGGCUUUCAGGGGAUGGUUGAUGUGUGUGGCUUUCAUGACCUCGGCUUCGAGGGGCGCAGCUGGACCUUUGAGAAGAGGGUGGCUGGUGGAUCAUACUGCCGAGUUCGUCUUGAUCGGGCUUUGGCAUCACCGGAUUGGAGCGCUAGAUUCCCGGCAGCGUCGGUGCACCAUCUAUCGGCAGUUGCUUCAGACCAUAUACCAAUCCUGUUGCAGUGGCAUCGGAAACGUGCACGACAACGGAGGAAGGGUCGGUUCAGGUAUGAAGUCAUGUGGGAGACUCAUGCAGAAUUCUCGGACAUGUUAUCACAAACAUGGACAAGUGAGGGGAAAGCGAUGACGCUGCGAGAACUUCAGGAGAAGAUGCAACGUCUGUCAACUUCCUUGCUAGGCUGGGAAAAGUCCACCUUUGGCCAUGUUAGACGUGAACUUCAAUCUCUAGAGGAGUUAGAAAAGCUGAGGAACGAACCUGGUCGCACUGGCCCUUCACAUGCAGAACUGAAGAUUGUAGAGAGGGUGUUGGAGUUGCACCAUCGAGAAGAAAUAAUGUGGAAACAGAGGGCAAGAAUCGAGUGGCUACGAGCUGGAGAUAAAAACACGCGGUUCUUUUAUCUACGAGUGACUAGGAGGAGAAGGAAAAACCUGAUCACACUGAGAAAGCCAGAUGGACACACUACGGAAGAUCCUCAGGAGAUGGCAAGUUUGGCGACCAGCUUCUACAGAACCUUAUAUAUGUCUGAGGGAACUGAGAACAUGGAAACUGUCCUCAGUACUGUUCCAAUCAAAGUGAGUGCGGACAUGAACAAUCAACUGUUGGCAGAGAUUAAGACGUCUGAGAUUAAGGAUGCUUUAUUUCAAAUGUUCCCAACUAAAGCUCCGGGCCCAGACGGAUACCCGGCACAUUUUUUCUAGAGGCACUGGAAUCUGUGUGGAGAAGAGGUGACCUCUGUAGUGAUGAGGGUUUUACGUGGCCAAGACAAUCCGGCAAGUAUUAACAACACUUUCAUUGUCUUAAUACCAAAAGUUACAAAUCCGGUGGAGCUUGGCCAGUUCAGACCGAUCAGUCUUUGCAACGUUAUAUACAAGAUCGCAUCAAAAGUUCUUGCCAACAGACUGAAAUUAUUGCUGCUAGAGAUUGUGUCUGAGGAACAAUCGGCUUUUGUCCGGGGCGAUUGAUCACAGACAAUAUAAUUGCUGCUUACGAGUGCCUGCACUUUAUGAAGCAGAAGCGGCCUAGUGACCAGCGUUUCUGCACACUGAAAUUGGACAUGAAGAAAGCCUACGAUCGAGUUGAGUGGUGUUAUUUACGUGUAAUCAUGUUGAAGCUGGGUUUCCAUCAGCUAUGGGUGGACAUGAUCAUGCGACUGGUGUCAUCAGUAUCUUUUGCGGUGCUGUUCAAUGGUGAGUGCCUUGAAAAUUUUUAUCCUUCCAGGGGCAUCCGGCAGGGUGAUCCUGUUUCUCCCUAUCUCUUUGUUUUGGCAGCAGAGUGCCUCUCAUGCCUAUUGAAGUCUAGAAUUCAGUCAUCCGAUCUUAAAGGAAUUAAGGUGGCGCCAACGGCUCCGAUGGUCGGUCACCUUCUCUUCGCAGAUGACAGCCUGCUACUUUUCAAAGCGAAUAUGGAGAAUGCAAUGGAGAUAAAAGAUGUUAUGCAUAUGUAUUGUCGAGCUUCUGGUCAACAGAUUAACCUGGAGAAAUCUUUAAUUCACUUCUCAAAAGGAUGCUGACAGGUGACAAGGGAUGCAAUUAAAUCUAUUCUGGAUGUUAACAAUGAAGCUUUGAGCGAGAAAUAUUUGGGCAUGCCCUCGGAUGUCAGGGUGCGACGAAUAGUGCCUUCAAGUACCUCAAAGAUCGUGUGUGGAAGCGAGUACAGGGUUGGAUGGAGCAGUGUCUCUCGGCAGGAGGGAAGGAGGUGCUAAUAAAAUCAGUUGCUCAAGCCAUUCCAACUUACUCGAUGUCUUGUUUCAAAUUACCAAGAGGUUUAUGCCUUCACAUCAAUAGUUUGCUUCGGAAUUUCUAGUGGGGCAGCUCUGAGGGGAAGAGGAAAACCUGUUGGGUUGCCUGGGAUGAUAUGGUUAAACCAAAGUUCUUCGGAGGUCUUGGUUUCAGGGAUAUCGAGCUGUUUAAUCUAGCUCUUUUGGCAAAACAAGCUUGGAGAAUUCAGCAGGAUUGGAGUUCUAUGGGUGCCCGUAUUCUGAAAGCUACAUACUUCCCUGCAGGCGAUUUUCUGAGCGCGCAGCUGGGGUCAAGACCAUCUCGCAUAUGGCGAUCAAUACUCGAUGGGAGAGAGGUGCUGCAACAAGGGCUGAUCCGCGGGAUCGGGACGGGUGAGACCACAGAAAUCUGGAACAUGAAUUGGCUGCCAAGGGAAGGAUCGCUACGGCCAGUCUGUACUCAAGUUGCAUCGGCCCCCAGACUGGUUAGCGAGUUAAUUGAUUCUACAACGGCGACGUGGAACAUGCAGUUGUUAGAAACUCACUUUACGCCAGCUGAUCUGGAAACAAUUCUUAACAUUCCUCUGCGUACCAGAAGACAAGAAGAUUUCUGGGCGUGGCACUAUGAGAAGACUGGUGUUUUCUCAGUUAGAUCAGCUUAUAGGAUGCUGGUGAUUAAUAAGCAUCAUGCAACAGCAUAUCUGGAGAGCAUAGCUGGCAGAUCAGAUGUCCGAGCUGAAGAGAAGGAGUGGUCGGCAAUCUGGAAGCUCAAUAUCCCUUCAAAAAUCCGAAUUUUCUUGUGGAGACUAGCAAAACACUCUGUCUCCCUUCGGGGGAUGUCCUCUGUCACAGGAACAUGGCACAGCAGAGCUCUUGCGACAUAUGUGGGGUACAGGAUUCCUGGAAGCAUUCUUUGAGUGAGUGUAAUCUUGCCAGAUGUGUAUGGGCUUUGGAGCAAGCAGAAUUCGUCGAGCAUCUGUACAACAUCCAAGAGUCGGACGCUCGUGCUUGGUGGGCAGAAGCAACGGCAACACUGCCGAGCAAUGAUCUGAUCAGAGUUGCUAUCACUUUAUGGGCAAUUCGGUAUGCGCGUUUACUUUAUGGGCAAUUCGGUAUGCGCAGAGGAAAACGCUUCAUGAGAAUUUGUUCCAGAGUCCUCUGUCCACGCACAGUUUUAUAGAAAGGUACAUAGCUGAUCUUGACCUCAUUCAACCUGAACAAGGUGCAGCCAGAGGACCCAAACAGCAUGUACCUGCAUGGAUCGCGCCACCAGAGAGCGUGACGAAGAUAAACGUUGACGCGGCGAUCUCCAAAAACACUGGUAGAGCAGCUGCGGCAGCUAUAGCGAGAGAUGGAGCAGGAAUUUUUCCUGGGGCCUUCAGUACUGAUUAUCCAGGGUGUGACAGACCCAGAAUCGAUGGAGGCCUUAGCUUGCAGAGAGGGUCUUGAUCUUGCAAGCGAUCUUGCAGUCAGGAAGUUCAGUCUCGCUUCUGACAACAUUAGCGUGGUAAAGAACAUCAAGAGCGGGAGCAAGGGAGCCUAUACACACAUUGUUGAGGAGAUCAGGGCCAGGGCACGAGCCUUUGUGUCUGCAGAGUUUGUUCAUGAAGAUCGAGCGUCUAAUGUUGAUGCUCAUAACUUAGCUACAAGUUCAGUUUAUUGUGAGUUAGGUAGAUUGGUGUGGUUGCUGUCACCGCUGAAGGCGUUUGUAUCUCGGUUCCUAGAGUCUUCAAUCAAUAAAGAGUGUUGAUUUCCCUAAAAAAAUUGGCACUGGCAGAAAACCAAAAAAGUACCACAUCAUAAACACCGGGAAACAUGCAGUACCAGAUUACCAGUACGUGCUUCACAGUAACACGAAACCAAUUGUAUAACUAAAACACCAAGUGCCAUUAGCAUACAGUAGGUGCUACUUGAAUAUAUACAAGACUGUCUAAACGCUCAUAGCUAGCCAGAACACAAACCUGAAAAGCAUCAAGGAAAUCCGUACCUGCCGGCCACAUGACUACUCAUGCUGCGCAGGCCUGCGCAGUACCGGAGUAAAAAGGGGGAAAUAGAUCCGUGGUGCCGCGCGCACCCAGACUUUUAAUUUGCUUCAUUGCACGCAGCUCGCGUCAACAAGUGUACAAUCAUUAGAACGUCGUCUCUAUGUCGAUGAUUUCCUACGCCCAUAUAAUGAUAAUAAUAGCAUUAGCAAUGAACUUAUCGAUUAACAGAAUCUGCUAUACUUGUGCAUGCUUAAUCCCCUUGCUUCCCAAUCCAUCGAUGAUCGAUCGUCGGCUGCCACCAGCGACGCCUGACUCGGCGUCUGAUAUUUCCCCUCCCGUGCCGCCGCCUGCGCCCGCAUUGCCGCGACCCCGGCACCCCGCGCCGCCUUCAGCCCUCCGCCGCCGCCUUGGAGCCGCCGCGGCCGCGCCACCGCCGCGCAGCUCGAGGAGGACCUUCCCGCACGAGCUGCAGGACGCGAGCUCGCCCUCCGCCCGGAGCCGCCGGACCGCGCCGCAGUGGCCGCACCAGCCGCGCAGCUCCGGGAGUGCCAUCUAUCGCCGCGACGCCGGAGCGCCGGACGUGUCUGCCGGGGUACGGUGGCUCGACUGCUCACGGACGUCGGUCGUAGUAGAUUUAUGUACGCGACGGGAGAUCGAUCGAUGCUAUAUUUUUGGAAAGCGCGUUGCGUCCCGGCGUUUGGGAACGUGCUUUGCUUGGUUGGUUUUCGGUGGCCGCGCAACGGAACCUGCCACCUCCAUCUCGAGUUCGUUUCCAUAUAUACUUGCUUCACGGACGGUCGUUGGAGCAAAGAUAGGAAACUUGACGUCAUCGUCGUAGCAGGUUUCAUUUCUUGGCAGCCAAUCUCCUGUUUUCCUAAUCCUUGCAUACUGUAUAUCCUACCCAAUCGAAAGUUCAAGCAAACCCCCAAAGACCACACAGCGAUCCAGACGGAAUAUAUGGACAGUUGCCCUGUUCCAAGGGUAAUUAUAGUGGAGUUGUCUAAUAAACAAUCUCAUAUCUAAUGACACGUCAUCAUAAGAUGGUUGAACAAUCAAUCUCUACAAUAGAUUAUCGUUUUUUAUCUUGUAGCAGUACCAUAUUGCUUAAGUUGUGGAAUGAAAAACGAAUAUUACAAGUAGCAUGAUAACAACCAGUCGUACAAUGGUGAGUCUUAUAAUUUUUAAUUUUAGCAUAUAAGGCGGUUGUUUCGCGAAGCAACCAUCUCGUACUCUCUUUUCUCUCCUUCACAUCAUGAAAAAUUCUAUGAGACAACUGACAUGUAACAAUUUACUUGCUCAUUUGCAGUUGCAGUUGCAGUUUGUUCCUGGUCUCCAUGUCUUGACCCUAGUGUAUUGAAUCUUCAGUUCCAACAACCAUCCGCUGACGCAUUACCCCACAGCAUGUUGUCACUGAGCGCAUUUCCGUAUAUUCGACACCGGGCAAUCCUAGAGGGUGUUAUCUAUCUGUUGGUUGUUGUAUGGGGACUUUAUACUUACUCCUCUUGUGAGGGUAUUAGAAGGAGUUUGACAACUCCUCCACUCGCAUAUUCUUUCUAACCCAUGGUGUUGUUCUCCGCAUGUCGUGCCCCUAUACCUCGCAGCAAAAUGGCAAAGCUGAGCGUGUUUUGCGCACCAUCAACAACAUCAUUCGCUCCCUCCUUUUCCAAUCCCAUUUCCCCCUCCCUACUGGGUGGAAGGCCUCCACACUGCCACCUACCUCUUCAAUCGCCACCCCUCGAAAACACAUCAGUUUUCCACUCCCCACCAUGUCCUCUACGGGCAUCCACCAUCCUACUCCCACCUCCGCGUGUUCGGUUGCAAGUGCUAUCCCAAUACCUCUGCUACCGCUCCCCACAAACUUGCCCCACGCUCCUUCCUGUGUGUCUUCCUUGGUUACUCAUCAGAUCACAAAAGGCUACCGCUGUCUAGACAUCUCCAUAAACCGUGUCAUCAUCUCUCGUCAUGUGAUCUUUGAUGAGUCCUCCUUUCCCUUCGCUGACACAACACCGACGGCCUCCCGCCCUCCCUCUGACCUUGAUUUUUUGGAUGACUUUCACUGUCCAGACUCUAUGCAGGUCAUUCAUCGGCGCACGCCUGUGCCAACCAGGCCUUCCACGCUAGCUGGGCCGGCCUCGUCGUCUGGUGGGCCGCCUCCGCCUGGGCCACCUCCGCCGCCUGGGCCGCCCGUGGUUGGCUCCCCUGCCUCUCUGCCAUGGCACUGGGGCCAUCCACUGGCCGCUGGUCAGCGCACCGCGCGCGUCCCGCGCCAGGCGCUCGCUCCGGUGCACCUUCCCGCACGUGCAGCCCCGGCACCUCCUGUCGUCAACAGCCACCCAAUGCGCACUCGCGCUAAAAGUUGCUUCGUUCAGCCUCGUCUACUUCAUGCCACCACCGUCUCCCCAGUACCUACGACUUAUCGUCGGGCCCUGGACGAUCCACACUGGCGCGCGGCGAUGAACGAUGAGUUCCAAGCUCUCGUCCACAACAACACUUGGACUCUCGUUCCUCGCCCGCCUCGUGCCAACGUCGUCACCGGCAAGUGGAUCUUCAAGCACAAGAUGCGGUCCGAUGGUACCCUGGAUCGGUACAAAGCGCGCUGGGUUCUCCGUGGCUUCACCCAGUACCCUGGUGUUGACUUCGAUGAGACUUUCAGUCCAGUUGUGAAGCCCGCCACCAUCCGCACCGUCCUCAGCUUGGCUCUCUCCAGAGACUGGCCAGUUCACCAGCUCGACGUCCAGAAUGCCUUCCUGCAUGGCACUCUUUCCGAGACAGUCUACUACACUCAGCCCUCCGGCUUUGUUGACCCGGCUCGCCCAGAUCAUGUCUGCCGGCUCAACAAAUCAUUGUACGGGCUGAAGCAGGCUCCCCGUGCUUGGUACAGCUGCUUCGCCGCACACCUGCUGACUCUGGGGUUCCUGGAGGUAGGGCUGGGCAAAAAAACCCGAGAACCGAGAACCGACCCAAAGUUACCGAGAACCGGUAUCGAAGGAACCGGAACCGAAGAAGUUCGGUUCCUGUUCGGUUCCAUGCUCUAAGAAACCGAAGUUUCUCGGGAUAUUCGGUACUUGGGCUCGGUUCUCCCGAAGUACCGAAAUUCAGCCCAUUGGACAUUUAGACCCAAUGUAACUUAUGUAAGUUCGGCCCAAGUUCCGCCCCCUCUCGGGCUCUCGGCCUCUCCCUCCCGGCCUCCCCCAGAGGCCCAGACCCCCAGUCCCCCCCCAGCCCCAGCCCCCUCUCCCUCUCCCCCCACGCGCGCCGCGCCGCCGCCCCGGCGCCCCCUCUCCCUCCCCCGGUCCCCCCGCGCCGGCGCGCCGCCCCCUGGCCCUCUCCCUCCGCCCCGGCUGGUCCUCCCCGCGGCCCGCGCGCCGCCCCCUGCCCCCCUCUCCCUCCCGGCCCCGCGCGCCACCCCCUCUCCCUCCCCCCCCCCGCGCGCUGCCCCCUCUGGCCUCUGGCCCUCUCCCUCCCCCCCCGGGCCCCCGCACGCCGCCCCCUCUCCCUCCUCCCCCCCCCCGCGCGCUGCCCCCUCUGGCCCUCUGGCCUCUGGCCCUCUCCCAGUCUCCCUCCCCCCUCCCCCCCGCGCGCGACCUCCCCCAGCCCUAGUCCCCCCGCGCGCCGCCGCGGCGCCGCCCCUGCUCGGCCUGCUCCCUCCUACUUUUCAAGCUCCACAACGGCUACAUCAAUUGCAUCUUGAAACUUCGGUUCCUUCGGUAAGUACCGGAACCGAACCAAACUACCCGGAACCGAAGUUGGUCGGUUCCUGCCUCUAAAAAUAAUCGAUCGGUACCAAUUAUCUGGGAACCGAAGUUCUGUAGCAACCGAGGAACCGAACCGAUCGGUUUGGUUCCUCCCGAAUGCCUAGCCCUACCUGGAGGCCAAGUCGGACACCUCCCUGUUCAUUCUUCAGCGGGGUUCUGACACCGCCUUUCUGCUCCUGUACGUCGACGACAUCAUCCUGACUACAUCCACACCUGCUCUUCUUCACCGGCUCAUCGCCGCACUCCAGGGGUCCUUUCCGAUGAAGGACCUCGGUCCCCCUCCAGCAUUUUCUUGGGGUCGCUGUCACUCGCUCUGCUGCCGGGAUGCUCCUCUCGCAGCGCCAGUACACCUUCGACAUCCUGGAGCGUGCCGGUAUGACUGAGUGCAAAUCAUGCAGCACUCCGGUGGACACUCAGGCUAAGCUCUCCUCGGAGGGCUCUCCUGUUCCGGAUGCGACGUUCUACCGCAGCUUGGUUGGGGCUCUCCAGUACCUCACCUUCACUCGCCCCGACAUCAGCUACGCGGUGCAGCAGGUCUGCCUCUACAUGCAUGAUCCACGGGAACCGCACCUCCUCACCGUCAAGCGCAUCCUGCGCUACCUUCGUGGCACCGUCGAUCUUGGCCUCUUCAUCGCCCGUACGCCCUCGCGAGCACCCUGACCGUCUACACGGAUGCUGACUGGGCCGGCUGUCCGCACACAUGUCGCUCCACCUCGGGGUAUGCCGUGUUUCUCGGUGACUGCCUCGUCUCCUGGUCCAGCAAACAUCAGCAUACCAUCCCUCGCUCCAAUGCUGAGGUCGAGUACCGCGCCAUGGCCAAUGGCGUGGCCGAGGCGACAUGGCUCCGUCAGCUCCUCCUGGAACUCCACCAGCCCCUACAGCGUGCUACAGUCAUCUACUGUGAUAAUGUGAGUGCUGUCUACCUCUCGACAAACCCGGUGCAACAUCAGUGCACCAAGCAUGUUGAGAUCGACCUUCACUUCGUCCGAGAACGUGUCGCUGCUGGGGCUGUGCGUGUUCUUCAUGUUCCGACUACCUCGCAGUUCGCCGACAUCUUCACCAAGGGCCUCCCUUCAUCUGUGUUCUUGGAGUUUCGGUCCAGCAUGAACGUUCGCUCCGCCGACGUUCCUACUGCGGGGGAUGUUAGACAGAGGAUUUCUCGGCUCCUGUAAUCACGGCCGCCCUCCCAUCUUGUUUCCAUAAACAGGCAGAGGCUUGGCUAUUUAGGAUUGUAAUCAUCCAUCGAUCAAUCCAAUGUGUGAUUACCCAAAUACUCCAUAUUUUCACUAAAGAUCCAGGUGCUGAAGCCAGGAGAGCGCCAAGGCAAUGUCCCCAGCAGGAAAUACGGCGCCAAAGAUGUCACCCUUGUCCACCGGAUGCACCGAGCAGAGCUUUCGCCUAGCGCCCCCUACCUGCAGCCACAAGCCUCUAUGCCCGCCAUGGCUACCACCAACAAGACUCGCCAACCUGCCAGCACCCCUGCCACCAACCUACCACCGGCCCCUUCCACGCGCGCAGCCUCCUCCCUAUCGCACGGCCUCCACCUUGCCGCGCAGGCCUCCACAGGCGCCCAGCCGCCUCCCACCGCCUCCACAACUCCUUUGCCGAGGAAAGGUGGCCCGACGACGCCCACACCACCACCUCGUUGCUGCCAGUGUGUCCCAGCGCAAGGCGUCCCUGCUGCGCCACUAUGGCGUCGCUGGCACGCCUCGCACAGGCCACCCCAACCGGACCACCACGCCGCCGCCUUCAAGAGGAGCUGCUGAGUAGAGGAGCCUCAUUGGGCACGGCUGCCGCGGCCACGCACGUCUUCAGGGCCCCCCCGGCCGACGGCCUCGCCGCCCCAGGCUACCACCACCGUGGUCGCCUCCACAUCCGUGUACGCACGCCUUGGGGCCUCGCAACCUCGUCGCCCAUGCCUGCGCGCUCAUGGAGUCACCACGCCCAAGCCCGUCUCCUGCUGGCCACAGUCUGCAGGUCACCGUCCUCGUCCAUGUGAAGCACCCCGCCCCGCUCCUGGGAGGAGCCAGCCGCCUCGCCCGUCGGUGGAUCCAGCCACGGGGACACCAGAUCCGCGCACGCCGGCGCUGGAUCCAGCCUUCCAGGCCGGCGCCGCCACGAGCUGCCCGCUCUGUCGGUCGAGGUGGCCGCACCCUCCUGACGCGAGGGAGAAGGGGGCCCUCACCGCCGCCGUCCUUGCAAGCCGCACGGACUUCCGGCAGCUGGCUCGAGCGGCGGCGCGGCGAAAGGGAGGGAGGGAGGAAGGGGCGGCGGCGGCGGUGUUCCACCCGCCCGGGUCACCCACGCGGGAGCGACGCCGGUGGGAGGGGGGGCGACACUAUACAGGUUUGACUCUCGAGUCUGUCCAAAUCUGACGAAACAUAUGCAGAAUGUGUAUAAGUAAUGCAUCGAUCUGAGGUUCAGAAUCUGAAUGAAGGGAAGAUGACAUCCAAGAAUAAAAAUGUUUGCUAAGAGAUGCUGCAUUCACCGGGCAUUCAAACAAGGAAAACUGAAGCCAUCUCAAAAGUUCUAUGGUUACGAUACCACCCUGGCAAUUCAGACAUGGAUAGCUGGAGCCAAUGUAUACUCUCAAAAAUGCAGUGGGUACAAGGACUUCAUCCGGUAAGGUGAAGAUUGGGUCUCUAUCCACCCUGUAUUUCUUUUGCUUGAGCUUCGGCAAUGCCAUUAUUCGGGGAGGAACUUCAGAUCCUGAAGAUACCAGCACGCUCGCGAUAUUCCUCAGGAAUGGCUCGCCCUCUGUGAACAGCGUGAUGAUCUCCCAAGAUCUGCCGGCUCUUCCAGAUCGUCCUCAGGAACGAUAAGGUCUUUCAGUAUCCAGGUGCCCCCACCAGAUGCACAAAUGCAAACAGCCUAAAUGCAACAGCAAGCUAGUGGAAAUUUGACAAUCCAUUAAUCACAAAAGUAAUUAUAAUAGCAAUAAGAAUCUCUUUCACAGCGCAUAAGAAUACAUGGGAUUUGGGAUACGGGACUCGCUUUCACUCCAACAACUCUGGACCUAGCAACUCAAGUAAAAGAAAAGGACACCACAACAACACAACUACAAUACAAUCUGUAUCCAUGAUGAUGAUGGGGUGCUUGUCAGCUUCGACGGAUGGCCAGCAGCUGUUUGGCCGUCGCCACAAGGGAGGACAAGGGCAUGCGGGCCUCCAUCAGCCCUACAUCGCCCAGGAAAAGGCUGUAGUUCUCGGCCUCCGAGGCUGUCUCUUCCACCAUGGACAGUGCUUCCGCCAUGCGGCGGUCGAUGAAGCAGUUCGCAUAGCAGGAGUCAUGUUCCAUCAUGUUUAUGGCUUGCUCGAGUAUCACCCUCCUGAUCCCGGGGCAGUGAGUGCUGGGUUCCAUGUUUGCGUUCAGGGCGUCUACGAGCCGCUUCACGAAUAUAUCCUUGAGAUGGCCGUCUUCUAGUUCCCGGGCGAAGUCUCGUGGAAUGACUUUGCAUAUCUGUGAACUAAGGCCAAUGAAAAUCUCUAGUUCUGCCUCCUCGUCUGCAACCAAUAUUAUUUCCAAUGCCUGCAAGGAAGGGAACAUCAAUGCAACGUAUUUUGAUUAACUCAUGAUCAUUAAACAUCUGCCCCUAGCUAAGAAUUUCAACCGAACAUAUUUGAAAGGCUAUAGUUAUACCUGUCCACUUAACUGCUAAUGUAAAAUUUUCACAUGCAUUUGCUCAGUAUUGCAACUACAAACUUUGAUAUGAGUCAGCAUCAUUAUGGUACCCUUGAGAGCUAACUCUAUGCUUUAAAGAAAAACAAAAGGCUAACUCUAUGCUUUCCUAAACUCUUUCCUAAAUACUAAUAACCACCUAAUGUAGAAACUUGUUUAUAUUUUUAGGGUAAAGUCCGGUUUGCACCCUCGAACUAUCGUAAAAGUUCAAUUUUCAACUUUCAACUAUAAAACUGGAUACCAUAAGCCAUCCAACUGCCGAAACGGACAAAUUUGACCCUUAGAGUGGUUUCGAAGGUGAUUUUGAUUUUUUUAAAAAAUAAAUAAAAAUCUAAUUAGAUGUAAAAAAUAAAAACUAAUUCAUCUUAAAUCAGAAAAAUAUGAAACUAGUACCAAAUUUUUUCUAAAAAUGUAACCUAUCUAUCAUAGCUCUAUUUGAAUCUUACUUAUUUAAAAAUAAUAGACAUAACUAUAAGCAACCAAAUACUAUGAAUAUGAAAAAAUUGAAUCCGAAUAACUGAUAAGAAUAGUGCCAAUAGAUAGGUUAUAUUUUAGAAAACUUUUGAUACCUAUUUCAUAUUUUUUUAUUUAAGAUGAAUUACUUAUAAAAAAUUUUUAAUUUAAAUUUGAAUAUUUUUUAUUUUCAUAAAAUGGAAAACUAUCUUUGAAACCAUCCAAAGGGCCAAAUUCUUCUGGUUUCGACAGUUGGAUGGCCUAUGUUGUCCGGUUUUGUAUUUGAAUGUUGAAAAUUGAACUUUUAUGGUAGUUUGACGGUGUAAAUCAGAAUUUUUCCAUAUUUUUAUCAGCUUUUCUCAGCCAGACUGAUAGACACAAUUCACAAGCACCACUAUAGGCCACCCAAAUAAAAUUAAUAAGUAUCAGUUGAAGAAAAAUCACAGCUAACAAACGUAAAGAAAAAGAGUUAAAAGAGCACAUAUAGGCUAAUGGUAAAUUGCACCACUUAGCUUUGAUUAGUAGAAGUCACCUGUCUCAAGCAGUAAGAUAGUUCCAUCAGGUCCGGCUCUUUAAGCUCAGGUCGAGCGUGGUGGCAAAUAUUCCGCAACAGACUUGCUGCCACGCAUCUGUACCUGUCAAUAUGGAUCAUACUUGUGAGUACCCCAAUGAACUCAUGCCCUGUUUCCCCUAACAUGGCCACACAGUUGUUGACACUGUCCAUUGCCAACAUUGCCAGUGCCUGCCCGGCCACCUCCCGUAGCAACUUAUCAGCCUCCGUACUGGAGGGUCUGUCUGGUUUGAGAAAUGCCUGCAUCAACAAGGUAAUUAUCACUUGGAUGCGCCCAAUCGCUUUCCUUGCGUUCUCAUCAAUGGCAAGGUUUCUGAUGAUUCCUUCCACCAACGUUCUUACUUCUUGGCUGCUCGUACCGUCUCCCAGGAUCUCCGCAAGGUUUCUCAGGAGAAAGGGAUAUUUAAAUACCAUAUGCCGCAACGUUAUGCCAAUUUCCCCUUCAACACUGGUGAGCCUGUGCAACAACUUCGCUGAUGACUUCACUAGGACCUUCCGUUGUGCGUCGGUAUAUGUGGUGCCACUUCUUCUGCAGCUUGUGAAUGCUAUGAUCUUGGGGAUGAGACCACUUGCCCUGCUGAUUUCCAUACAAUUUCCUUGAUCACAGCUAGCAAGGUCAUCGAGAAUUAACAUGGCCAGUGCAGGUAGAAGAUCUUGCUCUGUCAAUGGUUCCUCCUGAGGAAUUGACCAGAACUUGGAGAUCCCUUGACAACAUCUGAAUAUCCUGGACUUCUGUUCGGCAGUUCCAACUUGCUGGGUUGAGCGGUCUUGUGUUUCCAUUAGGAUGGCAGUGUCUGGAGCCGCAUCAAGCCUUUCCUCUUGGUUAUCGUCGGCAUUCAGAACUGAAUCAAGUAUUUUCUCAUGUCCAACUUUGGUGUCCAAUAGUGGGUUUCCUCUUUUCUGUUGGUUGCCGCAUUCCAGAAGCGCAGAUACAACCUGAAUAAUCCCAGGUACAGUUACAGCUCGGAUGCUUGUUGCGAGCUCAACGGUGACUUUUGCAGCAAACAAUCUAACAGUUGUAUCCUGUGGGCUUCUCCAGUCCAGCAUGUUGACUAACCUGGCCAUCGUUUCCAUAGACCCGUUGAGUUUCAAAAUGAACCAUCUCCUAGCUGGCUGCUUCUGCAGAAGACAGUGCAUCAUCCGAAUCCCAUGGCGCUGCAUCUUAGGCGUUUCUGAGUUUACAGAAUCGACAACAAAGUUGUUGAGGUUGAUCUCCUUUGGAGCAAGCACAUCCCCCUGCAUGUAUUUCUCAAAGGCAUAUGCAUAGUAAAGAUUGACAGACUCCAGUCCCCACUGACCUCCGAAGCCACCACGACGAGCAAGGGAUCUUCGAGGGAUGAAAGAAAAUAGCUCGAGUAUGCAGGCCACACUGUAUAGUGUUCCUUGACCAAGCACCAUCCCGUAGAAUAUAUUUAGGGAUGGUGCAAGGUUUAUCUUGGCCCCAUCCCCAGGGUCACUAUUGUCAAUCUUCUUGACAUUAUCACCGUAGUAGUCUUGUGAUACAAGACGUAUUAGUGCGAGCACCACGCGCACAAUUGCUGCUGGAAUCUGUAAAUUGCCCAAUGACACUAUCGCUGCAGCAAUUAAUUCAAUUGUGAUAAUGCCCAAAGGAAAAUCGUCUUGAGAAGCAAAAGGCAACAGCACUCCUGUAGUAAGCAUGCACGAAUUCAAAAUGAUUCCAUGCCAAAACUCUUGUUUGCUGCCCAGAGCAUGAUCAACUAGUUUGAUUAUGCAUGGAAACCGCAGCCUGCUGAUCGUCAAAAGGAGCAGAACCAGAAAUAGUAGUACGGACGCUACCAAUUCGGCCAUUCGACUGGUGUCAAUUCCUUCCUUAGUUAUUGCACGGAACAGAAUGAGGCCGAGAAAUAAAAUUGGAACGAAGGGGCCCAAUAACGAUAUGGCACGGCGUAGCAGAUCGCCUCUGACUGACGACGUUGCAGGUUCUGGGAACAACCGGACUACUGCAGGUGUAACCAGCAACACCAGUGCAGGCCAUGCUGGCAGAUUCAAGGAGACCAAUAAUACGAAAACGCCGGUAAAAAUUGCAACCACAGUCAGCCCAUUCCAUCCAAGAGGUUUUAAAGCACCUCUUGUGUGAAAGAACAAUUGGUAAUCCAAUUUGUUAUUGCGGCUAAACAUCCUGCAGUACAUAUGGUGCCAUUAAAGAAGGAAGCUACGUAUAUGUAUACAGAUAAAAAUUACCCGCAGAAAAAUAUAGAUAAAAAAUUAAAGGCUCGUAAAUCAUAUUAUUAUUUUCGAGAAACUUGGUGUGACGACAUGCAUAACUAUAUCGAUCGAUCUGCAACAGGAUUACAAGCAGUAUAAUUUGUAUAUCGUCGAAAUCUAUCGUAGUGCAUGAUGAUCGAUUUGCUUACCUUGCUGCUUCUAGGAAAACUAUGGUGGUUGCGAACCAAAAGUCGCAGUCUUGGCGGAGCACCGUGGGAUAGCCCCCCAGCAGGACGACGGUAGCCCAGGUGAAGGCGAGCGUGCCGAAGGCGUUGCCCAGCCGCUCGAUCAGCGCGACCGCGCGGACAAAGCCGUUCAGCUGCUUCUCCGGCGGCGUGUCUCCCGUGCCCGCCUGCCCGCCGCCGUGAGCCGACAUGCCGACGUGGUGCUCCCCUACGGUGCUCUGGAGCCAUGGCUAGCUUGGCGCGCGGGCCGGGAGAGGCUUAAAGUGCAGCUCGCACCCAGGAGUCGCGACGAUUCGAUGCGACCACUCCUGCUACGCAAUAAUUAAGUGGAUUCAGCCAACGGCUCAAGUCGUCCGGCCGGCUUAAACUUAAGGCCACUUUAGAAAAGCCUACUCCACUCCACCAACCCUACGAAAUUAUAUUACAAACUAGGUAAAAGCCCGUGCGGUGCGGGCACACAAUUUUUGAACAAAAUAAAAUAAUUUUAAAUAAAUAUGGUAAGAAGAUAAUAGAUAUAUUUGUCUAAGUCAUAAAUUUUAGUAGCAAAAUACAUAUUAAUGAUGAUGGAAAGAAAGUGUAUCCAAUAUGCCAAAUAUCUUAAACUUCGGGUACAAUUUUCUAAGAAUCACCUUGUUUAGAGAUGAGAAACGGUUGAUAUUUUACAAGCAGAAAAAUAUCAUAAUUUAACAACAACAAAAAACACAUAGACGCUCUUGGUUCAGAAAGUCUAUGCAGGUCCAACCAGCCAGUCCAUCACCUUGUGAUCCAUCAUGCACUAACAAGGCUCUCCGGGGUUAGAGCAGUCCACGACCUCUCCGAGCUCAAACUUGGAGUUCCAGAGAAAGACCUUAAGAGCUGUGAAGCUUUUUCAAGAAUAAUGCUGGAGAUUGCGGAUGUCUCAUAACCCGACAUGUCCAGGUACUCAAACUCCUCUAGGCAAUCAAGAAACAUUAUUAUCGCAGAGGUAGACAUAUCUGAACUUGGUAUCUCGGGCUUCUUUAGCUGAGGAAGAGAGUUACAGCUUAGCAAUAGAUUGAUGUAUCAACAUAGCAAUAUCUCAUAAAGAUACUUGUGUGGUACAUCAAUUUUAUUCUAAAUAGGCAUAAUAAAAUUUAGAAUAUCCGGACAGAAUUGAUUUUGGAGUUCCUUUUGUCAAUGGUCCGCAUAUGGUAUUCGCAUGUAAAUCUCUUAGAACAGACGUCUUGGAGCUCAUGUAUGACAUUCAUCUUGGUAUAUACAACAAUAAAGAAGUUGAACUUAAUGAAUGAGAAAACACCAAAAAAUAAACCGCAUUAUAUAGAGAUAGCUUAGCUAAGGUCUUAGUAUUUAUCAGUUGUACAGUUUGGUCAAAAGGGACAUUAAUUUAGCCCAUCACUGAUACACUUCCUGGAUCAAUCACAACCCACCUUGAAUUAGCGAAAAUACCAGCAUUCAUCAAGUCCAGAAGAGAAUAGACUAACCAAAUCAAAUCUAAAAUUAGUCAAUGCUGCUGCUAUCAGUGUGGAAAGCUGCAGGCACAACUGAUGUAGGCUGAACCAGGCUUACCACUGUAUAUCAAUGAGCCAAUAGUACUAACUCUUAAACUCUGUUUUCCCUCCUAUAAAUAACCCGUGCCACGAUUAAUUCAGAUUAGCCAGAAAAUUUUCACAGCCUUACACACUUACACUUACGUCAAUCAAAUAAUGUAUUAAUGUUUCAUGUGUGUUCUAUUGGUCGAACAAAAGUAAAAGUGUCGAUGAACAUUUGGAAUCUGAAAGAAUCAUGAGCCCGAUUCCAUUGCCCAAAUCUGAGGGUAAAUAGAUUAAAGCAAUAGAAAAUGGAGAAGAAAAAGAUCCAUGAGCUCCCAAUAAUUUAUGCUAACUUGAUUCUACCUCAACCUUCCUCUCAAAUCUUAUUGGAAUAGCAGAAAGAACAGACUGGUGAUGAACUCAAUGCUGACCACAACAUGUUUGUUAACCCAUUUAUUAGCACAACUCAUGGAACCUGAAAUGGCGCCAUUGGUACCCGAUUUUUUUUCUUUCCUUUGUCGCGCCACCAAACUACCUUGAAUUGGCACUGGUGGUACGUGCAUAGGCACGCUCCGAUCAUAGAAAAUCUGCAUACUUUCAAUCGUCGAAUCUAUGUAAAAAGUGGACAAAAGUCUAUGGCACCUCCCUGAACCGAAACUGUUGCUUGCUGCUUGGACAGAAACGUGUGCCUGGACCAUGUGCGGGCAUGAGGAGGGCAGCCACACUCUGACUUUGGCAAUUGGCAGUAGUGGGGGGACAUGGACGGACACAUGGUGCAGGGAGCUUGCAUCUAUGCCGGAGGCCUACACCAUUUUAGCAACCUGGCGGAUAGCCAGCGUCGUCGAAAGUAGCCAUGGAAGGCUGGAACCAUAUGCGUGCCGGAUUGCCGGCCGGGGCCGCCGUGGGCGAGCGCCACACAAGGUGCCCGCGCGCUGUCUGCAACUCUGCUCUGCCUAGCGAGGUCCCGCCGCGCCCAACAGAGCGAGCUCACUCGAGAGCUAGCAGCGUGGGGGAGUGGUCGGUGGAGCCCCCGCGCGCGUGAGCGGGCGGGGCACUCGCAUCGCGCUCCCUCCCUCGCUGCCGGACGUGUGGCCAGUGGCCACGUAAAGGCACGGGCCGGCCGCGUCAGGGGAUAGGAAAGGAGUGGCGCGCAGGCGCAGCGCACUGUGGCGGCCGGCGCGGGCACGGGCGCGGCGCGGCGCGAAACCGGCCGGGCCGGUGGGCGCCGCGUCGCACUGGUGCCGCCGCGUGCCCCCGGGGCCCAGCUACGAACGAAACGAGUGGCGGCGCCGGGCGCUGCUGCUGGUCGGUGGGGUGCCGCGGCCCGCCGCGCUCAGGGCGCUACUAGCUAGUGGCCUAGUGCGCUUACCAACCAGACCCGGGCCGUGCCGAUCCGAUCCCGACCACAACGAGCUCCGGCGGUGGCGUGCCCGUGCGGCCGUGUCGACGCGCGGCGCCCGAGCUCCCAGCCCUGGUGAGCGAGCACGCACUAGGCGUGCGUGCGUCAUGCGUGCGUGUGACCGUGGCAGUGAGGGUUGUUGGUCGGUUACUGGGACAACGCUGGUCACAGCCGCGUACUAGGGACUACGACAUCCACAUCGGGCUCGAAGCGACUGUGACGGCCGGCGUUCUGUUCGUCCGGUUCGGGAUCCAGUCUACUCCAGCCGGUUUACUAGUAAGAGUCUGCGGCGGCGGCGGCGGCGGCUCCCUGAUUCCCCUCGCGGUCGCCGAUCGGAGCGCCCGGCGUCGGCGUUCGUGGAAUUUACCUCUCUGGCUCCGGCGGCAGCCUCUCCACGCAGCCUUCAGAGCGAAUCGAUCCGAGAACGCUGCUACUUACUUCCCGUUAAUUCCAAGCGAGCGCGAGCGCGUGCGAGCACGUUGUUGACGCUGCUCUCAGUCUCGGUCUCACGAUCUUUUGCACGGUGGUGCUGCUGCUGUAUGGCUAGCUAGAUGGCUAGUGCUCGUUCACGUCUCUGGGUUAAGCUUUUCGAUCGUCGUCGUUUCUAGAACUCUGAAGGCAGGAAAAAAUCAAGGAUGCGCUUGCUUUAUCCGGAUCAUCGACAGGAAUCGCGAUCCGAUAUUUUAUAAAAACACCCCUAGUAUUUUUCAAAAAAAAACCUCUUCUCCUCCGUCUGGGUUCGUUCUCCCCUCCCCAAGCAAUCAUGCGUGCGCCCCCUCGCAUGAUAGCCUACGGACCGAAGGAUCAUAGGAGACGCCCCUAUCAGCUAGACCAUCAUGACGCCGGGACCGGUGUCCGCGCCGGUCGCAGCAUCCAAGCUUAUCACGCAAGACAGGUCGUACCGGCCGCCCUCCUCUACCAGGCGUAGGGUAACGAUCAGCAGGGCGCCUCGACCUCAGAAGGGAGGUCCGGGCCCUCACCGCCGACAGGAGGGCCGCCCCCGGCGCAACAGGGGCGAGCCGCAAAGCACGACGGCGCCACUCCCUGCCACAGGGAUGGCGGACAAAGACCGGAGCCUUGCCAGGCGGCGUCGCGGGAUUGGUGAGCAGGACCCGGCAUCGGGACACAGCGAGGCACGACCGACAGAAGGGCCCGGGACAAGAUAAGUGUAGCAACGCCGAUCUCUCUCCCGGGAUGUCGACCUCGGGAGGCGAGCACCUCUUUCUCACGCAUUAUAGACUAGCCCACGGGCAUAAGGCGGAGCUCACUCCCACCGCUAGGAGCUAGCACCCAGUAUUCUGAUACGAGGAAUACCAAGAACACCACUUACACUGGACCUACUUAGCGCAUUUGCCGCUAAAUUUACAGCCCAACGAACAAACACCAACACAACCAUUAUUCUAUUAUAAAAAACCUAAUGUUCUAAAGCUCAUUUCAAUUAUCAUUUUGCUGUUCAGUCCCUCUCUACAUACCUGUGGGUCAUACAUAAACACCGAUAAACCAUGCUCACUACUCACCACAUUAGUUCAUUUUUAUUAAUCAGAGGUCACCUAGCAAUUAUAAAUGCAAAAUAGUGAUUGAUACAAUAAGCAAAAACAACAAGCAUUAGGGAAGAAACAAAGUAGGCAAAAGCUAGACCAAGGAUGGUAUAUCUACUGAAUUUUGAUGAAGUUACUCUUGGGUACAUUAAACAUAGAUCUUUGUUCUAAAUCAUUUAAAUUAAAAAACAGUGAACCUUGAAAUGAUAACGAUAGCAGUCCAUAAAAAAUGUACAUGGACUAACCUUUUCUCCUUGGAAAUCUAAUUUCACAGUAUGUAUGCUUGCAGUAUCACUCAGAACUUCACUUGACACACAUCUUUGAUGAAUGAUGAUCCUCUUGGGCAAGGAAUAUGAGGUAUAAUUCCUUCAGGGAUGGAUUGACACCAAAUUAGGGGGGGGGGGGAUGGGGCCGAAGUAUCCCCCUCGAGAUGCUCCAGUUCUGGCAGGCGAACAACCUCAAGUCUUCCGUACAGGCAAAAAUGGAGUUUUGAGUUCGCUGCAUCUACUUUUUGUGCCCCAUUCGAUUCUGGAUCACAGUUUGAGAGAUACAGGUGGUAAAGCAGCUGGCAGCAGCCAGAACAGUCAAAUAGGUGAUGAUUGAUGUGUUGAUGCCCCAUUUAGCAAAGCGCAAGGUGUGUAGAGACAGUCUUACGAGGCAAUGAAAUAGGCUACGAUAAGACUGCCUCCAACAACGGGCAGGCAAAUUGGCUAUGCAUUUCAACAUUUAGCUGCCCCCUGCAAUUUGCGUGGCCAGCUAAGACCAUCUGCAGCCCAUCCCUGUAUCUCGUUUCGGUAUCCUUUGGCGGAACGAUUUAGCGAAAAAAAGUACGCAGCCGGUUCCGCCACGGUCUCCACUACGCUGGAGUAGACUCCCGGUUCCGGCAAAUACAGCGGAAUCCUUUCGUUCCUCCAUCGGUCCAUCCCCUGUUGCGAUGUCAUCUCUCUCCCCCAGCCAAGUAUCUCGCGCGCUCGGCUGGAAGGGCGAAGGCGGAGGCGGAGCGCGGGCGAGGAGGUCCAAUCUUGGCGACUCUCCGGUUGGGCGCCCUGGAGAGGAAGACGGCGUGCAAGGCGACGGCAGCGGGAGGCGCUGCAAGCCUGGAGGAGCCAUGUCCUCUUCGUAGAUCUGAGGAGUGCGGCGGCGGAGGAGGGAGCGGGGCUUUCCCGGCCUACGAAGGGAAGGCGAGAGAGGAGAGCUCGCCUGAGAAGAAGUUGCCGGUGCCGUCCGUGCAGGCUGGGAAGCGGCAGCGGCCAGAUCCAGGCGGAUCCCGUACCUCGUCGGACGAGAGCUCCACCGGCCAUUCAGAGCGGGGGCGACGAAGCCGCAGGUGCGUUUUUCCUUCUCUGUGUGUUCGUUGUAUUUGGUUGCAUGCCGAUCUGGUAGGACAUGGAACCAGUGGCGGAGGAUGGCCAAAAAAUGAGGUGUGGCGGGUGGCGGCGCGCCGGCGGCGGGGCAGGGGCGGGCUGCGGGGGCGCCGCGCGCGGGGGGUGGGGCGGCGACCUGGGGCGGCGCCGGGGCGGGGGGCGGCGACUUGGGCCGGCGGGGGGGGGGGGGGUGGGGCGGCGCGCCGGGGCGGGGGGUGGGGCGGCGCGCUGGGGCGGGCGGCGACCUGGGGUGGGGCGGCGCACCUGGGGCGGGGGCGGCGACCUAGGGCGGCGCGCCGGGGCGGGGGCGGCGACCUGGGGCGGGGGGCGGCGACCUGGGGCGGCGGCAGGGCAGGGGCGGGCUGCGGGGGCGCCGUGCGCUCGGGGUGGGCCGGGGGGGGGGGUGGGGCGACACGCCGGGGCGGGGGGCGGCGAUCUGGCGGCAACCGGGAAGAAGAACACGAAGGGGGAGGAGGAACUGAGGAGGAAGGGCGGCAUGGUAACUUGGACGAGUUGAAGGCGGCGUCGGGAUUGCAGUUCUGCGAGUUGAAGACGAAUCUGUAGAAAAUGAAUGGACGAUUGUAGGUUUCUUUGAAUAGGCUUGAAGUUGGAUUUGUUCCCACAUUUUCAGGAUGGACCCAACCCAAUUCCAGCAGCCUGAUAGAAAUAGGCAUGGUGGCAAUCCUCCGUACCAAGGCGGCUUGAACCCGUACGUGUUUAUGUACCAGACCGGCCCAAGUGCUUGGAACCCCAAUCAGGUCAUGCAUCCGGGAAUGCCUCCCAUGACUGCAGCAGGUAUGUUUCCCAUGACUGCAGCAGGUAUGCCUCCACCCAAUGCUGGAGGUAUGCAUCCACACAUGUCACCACAAUUGCAGCCUUCAGCAAAUGUAGAUGAAAUGCACAAUCCAACGGAUGACGAGGUAGAGGAGGUAGCAAUUGUUGGUGGUCCAUCAAAUGGAGGUAGGAAAAGAGGGGGCAGUAAUACCAAAUUGGCCAACUUUGCAGUAGAGGAAGAUGUCAACAUUGUGAGGUCAUGGCUAGAGAUAAGUUGUGACCCAAUUGUGAACACUGGCCAGAAGAGAGACAACUUCUGGGAUCGUGUUAUGAAACAAUACAAUGGGAGGCGGGGUUCAUUCCCAAAAAGGACGUUGAGGUCUGUCCAGUCUCGCUGGGAUAAGAUCAAACAAGAAGCAACGAAGUUCACUGGGUACGUGGCAAAGGCUAUUCGGGAUGACGCUAGUGGGACAUCGGACGCUGAUAAGGUACGCCAUUGUUUGUGAUUGCUGCGAUCGGUGCUCGAUUGUUGAUGUAAUUUCAGUUCUAUUUAUUGUUAAUGUUCUGUGACUCCUAUGUCCACUUGCAGACAACCUUAGCAGCAUCCGACUUUGCUGCUAUUGAGGGAUACAAUUUUCAGUUCAUGCAUUGCUGGGACCUGAUGAAGGAUGAGCCCAAAUGGCAAGACGUAAAGCAGAGAAGUUCGAAAACAGUUGGUUCUAACACUAUUGACUUGGAUGGGGAUGAGGCAUCACCAGCAGGCACCGGCAAGAGGCCAAUUGGUAGGGAUGCAGCAAAAGCUUGCAAGAAGAAGUGUCCAUCUGGAUCGACAUCAUCUUCGGAAUACGCUUCCAAUCUGCAAGACCUCUCAUUGCAAAAGAUGACAAUGUGGCAAGAAGAAAAUUCAAAGAAAGUAAACCGCUUUGACCAUCUUGCAAGUAUUGAAGAAAAGAGGUUCGAUGAGAUGCGUGAACACAACAAGUCCAUCCUACAGCUUGAGGAGGAGAAGAUAAAGAUCAUGCGCGACAAACUCAAUAUGCAGAUGCAAGAGAAGGAGAGGGAGAGACUUGAAAGAGAGAAGCAAGAAGAUGAGAGGAUUCUUAAGGUGGACCUUGAUUCUUGCGCACCUGAGCUUCGCAUGUAUUACGAGGCGCUUCGUGAGGAGAUACUGCACAAGGUGUCAGCAAGAAGGCAGAGGAGCCGCCAAGUGUGAACUAUCAUUUAUUUGUUGUAAGUCUUGAACUAUCAUUUAUUUAUUUGUGUGUUGUAAGUCUUGAACUAUUUAUUUCUUGUAAGUCUUGAACUAUCAUUUAUUUAUUUGUGUGUUGUAAGUCUUGAACUAUCAUUUAUUUAUUUGUGUGUUGUAAGUCUUGAAUUAUUUAUUUGUUGUAAGUUUUGAACUAUUUAUUUGUUGUAAGUCUUGAUCAGUUUAUUUUAGAUUUGAACAGUGAGAUUUAUCUGGUGUGCCCUCUUGUGAGUGCAAUACAAGAUAAUACACAUUUUUAUUUAAUUGCCAUACAAGCUGACCUUACAAACUGGACAUACAAACUGACCUUACAAACUGGACAUACAAACUAACCCUUACAAACUUGACAUACGAACAUAUAAUGAUCGCUAGAGAGUACACAUCCUUAGAAUACAAAUAUUCAUUACACAUACAAAUAAGCAUACGCAUGCUACUCUGCAUUGACUCCCAACCUUGCCCACUGGUGCUCAAUGAGAUCGUACUGCAGUUGGUGGUGUGCAGUCCUGUUCCGGAGCCUGUGCUGUGCCUGAAUGAACUCGUUCCUUUCUUGAGUGUUGCGGUAUGGGACGGCAAGCUGUCCUACUCGAUCGAAGCUUGUGUUUCGUGCACCUGGCCCUUCAUCUUCGACAAUCAUGUUGUGCAUUAUUAUACAUGCCUGCAUGAUGUCACUAAGAUUAGCACGAUCCCAACCGUAUGCUGGCCCACGCAACACACCCCACCUUGCUUGGAGGACACCAAACGCCCGUUCAAUGUCCUUUCGGGCUCCUUCUUGGCACUUAGCAAAGUGUUUGGUCUUUGUCUCCAUAGGGUGGCGAACGGUCUUAACAAAAGUUGGCCAUUCUGGGUAAAUCCCAUCGGCAAGGUAGUACCCCAUAUUAUAUGUGUUCCCGUUAACAGCAAAUGAAACCGGAGUCGCCUGGCCUUGGACGUACGAUGAGAACACGGGAGACCUAUGAAGCACAUUAAUAUCGUUGCAACUACCUGGCAUACCAAAGUAAGCAUGCCAGAUGUGAAGAUCCUUAGAAGCAACUGCCUCUAGGAUCAUGGUUGGAUGUUUACCGCGACCCGUAAACAUCCCUCUCCAUCCAAUUGGGCAGUUCUUCCACUCCCAAUGCAUGCAAUCGAUGCUACCUAACAUCCCUGGAAACCCACGGUCCUCGCCAAUCUGCAGUAGCCUAGCAACAUCAUUUGUAUUUGGAGCACGUAGGUAGUAAUCCCCAAAUACUUUGAUGACAGCCGCACAGAAGUGCUGUAGAGCUUGACGAGCUGUGGACUCACCAAUACGCACAUACUCAUCUACUGCGUCAGACGGCAAGCCAUAAGCAAGAAUUCGUAGGGAUGCAACGACCUUCUGAAGACCCGUCAAGGGUGUCUGAUGUAGUGCGUUGUAUUUGUACAUGAAGUAUGGGUAGACGGCCGUGACGGCUUCGACUAGGCGCUCCACCACAUGUCGUCGCAUCCGGAACCUGCAAAUCAAAAUAUCUUCAUAUGUUCACGAAUCAUAUAGAAUGAUAAGUUUGGUAUUUUGUCCAUACCUUCUAUGAAACUGAAAAUCGUUGUACACAGGCUUCUCGCAGAAGUAGUCCAGGCGGAUCCUCAUAUCCCCGGAACCAUGGUCUCGUGGCCGGAUUUCUUUGGGGGGCCUGUUAUUCCUACGACGAGAUCCUUCGGCCUCCUCUAUGGAGACCAACUCAAGCACAAGCUCGUCGUCAUCAUCAACCAUGGCGGUGAAGUCGUCCUCCUCUUCCUCCUCCAUCCUCCAAUACUUUGCCAACGAGCUUGAGCCAGGGUACGCAGCCAUUGGAUAUAUUGUGGUUAUGAACAAGCAUACAUGCAAGAGAGGUUGGCGCACAAUAUAUACUUCGCGAGUAGCCUACAGAGAAUAUAUUCGCUUCGUACUGGAGCACAAUUGCACGAGCAGCACGUAGAGAAUAUAUUCCCGCCGACGUGCCAAAAGUGACAGGAUAUGCAAGCCGAUAUGCAGGCCUUUGGGCACGGGCGAAAUGCUGGAGUACGAGACAUCCAAACGAUGAAGCCAUGCAACAGCCUUUGCACACCCACGGGCGAACUGCAUGCAGAUUCCAUGCAUGCUGGGUACAUAUAUUAUUUUUUAAGUGGAUGAAGGUAGUUGAUAGGAAAUGAAUAGAAUAAUUGGUAGUUGGAUAUGGAGGAAACAUUUACAGGAAUAGGAGUGCGAGAAAAGUUGGAGUAGAGUAAAGAAUCUUGCUGACUAGGCUAGAAUAUUCCUUUUAGAGGAAAAAUUUGGAGGAACAGGAGUGCGGAUAGCCUAAAACCUUCUGCACCCAACAAAGCAGCUAAAAUAGCUGUGGCCGUUGGCCCUAUUUAAUUUCGCGCCAAAGAAUGGACGCGUUUUGUUUUCUCGCUUCAACGGAGCCACGCCGCUGCAGAGCUUGUCCGCGUCGAGCGCUUGAAGAUGAGGUCUUGACGGUUGUGGACGGGGCAAAUGCCUCGCGUGCUCCCACCAGCCAGUUUGGUUGUUCUCUCUCUUCCCAUGUAUUUUGCCUGGCCUGAAUACCUGGCCCAUUGGAGACGCUACAAUACCCAUCAGCCAGCUAAAUUGCCUUUGCCUGUCCAAAUACCUGGCCUGUUGGAGCCAGUCUAAGGACUAAAAAAUGCCUCUCACAACACGAGCUUGCUACAUGCACAUGAGCCUGAAAAAAAAAGCAGAGACUUACAGAGUUGAUUCCAAUGGUAAUACUUAAACCCCAAUGAUGCACAACUGUGAGAGGGAAUUCUGGUUUUGGAUUGUUGGAGAGCGUGACGAAGGAAAAUUCCCUCCAACCAGCGAGCAGAUCGAACUCUCUGCAAUAAUCCGACUGAAGGAAGAAACCGAUCCAUGUUGUAUGGAUGGAAUGUUAGAUAACUAGGCAAUUUUCGGUAUAUUUUAAUUCCAAAUAUUACUAGCAAUUUCAUGAUAUAAUUGAGUGAUAAUGUGUGAAUAAGAUAUGUGUAUGUGUUCAUGUUAUUCUUACUAAUAAGCAUGAAUAAAGAGUUAAACCACAAUAGGUUUAGUAAGUACCCCAAUGCGGGAUCAGUGCUGAGGGCACCGGUUGCGCCGUUACCAGCUGUAAUAGACAUGCUAUUCGACUGGCCUUACUCGAAGUAGCCGAACUAUGUCUGUAACAUUCCAUGUUAACCUUUAGAAAGUUUGUUUAAUGAAAAUUGUGAAUUUCCAAAAACUUUUGCUAAUUAUCUUGGUUUGGAGGGAUUGAUGAAUUUUAUUUGAUUGGAUUUUGAAUUGCUUGAUUCAAAUUGUGUGGGAUUUGAAUUUGAAAGGGCAAAUCAAAUUCAAAUCCAAAGCCUACCCUAUAAUACCCCUCGUGGGCCACCAGCCCACCGGCCAACGCAGCCCCAGGCCCAGCUGACCUCUUCCCCUUUGCCCUUUUUCCUUCCCCGCACGACAUCGGCCCAGCGCCACCGGCCCAGCCCUUCAUCGCGAACCAUCGCGCCCCUUCGCCUUCCUUCCGCCCGGGGCAGCUGACGGGCGGGUCCCACCCGUCAGCUUUCCCCUUCCUCCUGACCGCCCGUGACCCCGGCUCCCGCUCGCUCGUUCCGCCUCGCGUCGCCGCUCGCCCCCGCCUCACGACAGGAUAGCGAAACCGCUGCUCCCCUUUUCGCCGCGCCCGCGCUCGCCUGCGUCAUCCCGCGCGCGCCUGUCUCCGCUCCGCGACAGCGCAGCACAACCGCCGCGCGCGCCCUUUCCCCCGCACCCCGACCGCCCGCGCCGCGAACCCUAACCCUAGCCGCGCUCCCUCCGCGCCGCGAUGCCGCCACGCGUCCCGGCGCGGACGCUAAAAAGCCCCGGCCGCAGUCGCACACGAGCCCCGGCGCCGCAUAUAAGAACCCUAGCUGCGCUCCUAAACCCUAGCCACCCGUGUCUCUUUUCCAUUCUGCCGUCGCCGCAUGAGAGGAAGAGAGAGGAGAGGAGGAGGAGGAGGAGGAGGAGAAGGGCUCGAGGAGGAGGACGCCGACGCCACCCCCGGAGCAUCACCGCGCCUGCACCCGUACGACGACACCGAUGCAGCCGCGCACCCUGCACGGCCUCGACCCGCCGGCCUCGCCUCUCCGCUACCCCGAGCGCCUUCUUCUUCAGCCCCGCCGAUGAGCCACACCGCCGCCAUCCUUUUCAUGUCCCCCUGCUGCCGGCGUGAUGCCUAGCGCCGCCGAGGAACCCUCCGUAGCCCAGCCGUAGGACCACCCUUCCCUUCCGGCCGCCGUGCCAUUCUUGUGCAGGGACCCGUCGCGCCGCCGUUUCCCCCGCUACCGCCGUCGCAUCAUCGCCGCCGCGUCGUGCCGCGGGCCUGGGGUGCCGGUGCCCCGCGCACGGCACGGCCACACCGCGGCCCUGGGAUGCCAGGACCCGCGCGCGUGUGUGCACGCCAACGCCGCGGGGCCAAGCCGUGUCCCCGCCUCGCCGCGUCUCUGUUAGACCACUCCGAGCCCGAACGUGCCCAGCCUCGCCAUGCCUGCGCCACGGCCUCGCCGUGCGCAUCCACCCCGCGAUGUGGCCGCGACAUCGCGUUCGCGUCGCGGCCAAGCCUGUGAGGCCUUUCCCCGAGCACCCUUCGGGCGCCGCACACGCACAUCGUGGCACGCACACACGCACGCCCUCCUGCCGCCCCGAAUCCAGACCCGCCGCACCAGAUCCCGCGGAGACCGACGCCUGGGCCCGACCUGUCAGUGUGAAGGAAGAAGGCGGAGGCCGCCAGCGUGGAGGAGAAAACGAAGGAGAAGGCCGCCAGUGGAAGAAGGAGAAGGAGAAGGAGGCCAGUGGAGGAGAAGGAGGCGGAGGCGGAGGCCGCCAGCGUGGAGGAGAAGAUGAAGGAGGAGAAGACCUGUCAGUGGAAGAAGGCUGAGCCGCAGGCCGGGCUGACUCCGCGAGCCUAAGCCGAGCCUGUUGGGCCUUGAGCCGGCCCAUCACCACUUUUGGCCCAGAACCAAACCAAGUCCUUUUUCCUUUUCUUUUCCGGCCUGACCCGAGGGGCCCACCUGUCAGCCUCAGGGCGAGGCUGACCCGUGGGACCCGUUGACCAUGGACCCCCUUGACCUUUGACCGUUGACCGGUCAAUGUUGACCGGUCAACGAUGACGUCAGCAGGGCCCAUUGCUGACGUCAGCAGACCUGGACCCCCCUGAUGAUGUCAUGCUGGCGUCAGCAUGCCACGUGGCACGCCCCCGGAUGCUGCCACGUGUCCCUGUUACCUGUUUUUCCUUUUUCCAGAAAUUCUUUAUUAAUUUCAGAAAUAGGUUUUCCCUUAAAAAAUUCAUAAUAAAUCGAUCGGACCUCCGAAAAUUAUGAAACUAGUUCCAUAAUUCUUCUAAAAUCAUGAACCACCCGUUAGAGUAGGCAUUAUGGUGAUUUGGAUCUUAUUUGUAGAGUUUUGUGUAUAUUUGCACCUUGGUCCCUACUCUUACUCGUAUUUACGAAUAGGACCCGACCACGAGGAGUUGACCGACGGCCAGGACUACCCGGAGGCCCAGGAGGACUUCGAAGAGACGCCAGGUUCACGCCCAUGUACGAUUUGAAUUCCUAUUAGGCAUUGCUUGUAGAUAUGCUAUCGCUGUAUGUGUGCUUAUAUCGAGAUGAACCUGCAUGGCCUAUUUUAUGUACCUUACUCCUUGCCAUCCUAUCUCACUUGUUUAUUAUAUGAAAUGCCUGGUAAAUCCUUGAAUGUGUAUGUGUGGGAAAUGGAUGGAUAGUCUUGGCGUGUGUGAAGUGGUUCUCUGCAGGAGUUGGUGAUUAGGGUUUAGUCGGGAGUGGGCAACCUAACUCGAUCAUGGAUCGAAGGCUUGGGGUGUGUAUCUGGGCACACCCUACGGAGUACCUGUGGCGGGUACAGUUUUGGUUACGAGUUUGAGGUGUUAGAGGCACCCGUUAAGGGUGCAGUCGUGGACCACCGUGGUGGAUACGCUUUUGACGAAGAUGCCCGCUUCGGCAAUUAAGGACCGGGUGAGAGUAACUAUAACUUGUGGGAAUCUGUUAAGCGUACACACCACUUACCUAUUAUGAGGGUGGGCCCGGUCUGGGGUUAGCAAGCGCGGUACCAAGCCGGUAUGAGGAUCGAGUAUCAGUGCAGGGGGAGGAGGUGCUGACCUCACGUUCCCCGAGACGCAUGGGAGGCUUCACAGUCCCAGGGCGACCUCCCGUGGGAGGAUGCGCCCAAGACCCGGGAAAGCUGGAUGGUGCCGUGGCUCCUAGUUCCGUUUCAGUAGACCGGUGUUUCGUAUGCUAGUCGGCUGAUCUCCGGCUAGUGUCGAUUCGAGUGGGUCCAGGUGUACAACCCCUAUAGGGUGAAAACUAUACGUAUAGCCGCGUCCUCGGUCAUGGACAUCCCUACUCCUCUGUUGCUCUUAUUAGUUAGUGCUACUCAUGAAUUCUACCUCCCUCUAGAAUAACUUCCUGCCGGGGGGCAGUUGAGAUGCGAGGAGAGGGAGUUCUCGCAUCGACUUGGUGGUUUUGGAAGGUGUGUGUUGACCGGGAGUCCGGGAUGCCGGAAGGGCCCGAGUCGGGAACGAAAGGAGAUGUGUAUACUUAUAUAUAUAUUUACUGCAUGCAUAGGGAAACCCCAGCUUUACCUCUUGAACUCUGUUAUACCCGUAGUAUAGACCACGAUAAAGCUUGCAUUCAGAUGGUGACGUUAACCUAUCCCAUUUCUUGGGGAUAGCCUGGUAUGAUGCAGGAUCCGAUCCGGAGUUCGACCCCAACGACGACGGUUGGUACGACUGAGGCUCGAGCUACGCUCAAGUCGCCUGUGGAGGAGGUUCCCGAAGAUGAAGGAUGGCCGAAGACCUAGCUACCGUUUUGCGCCUUCUGCUUGUUCGAUCUAGCCGAGAGGCUUGUAAUAAAUUCCGUACUACAGAUCCUUUGGAUUUAGGUAAUAAUUAAACCCGUAUUUGACCUUAUGAUGAGUAUGACUAUGAUAUUAUGCCUGAAAUGAGUCCUGUAUGUGAUAGCGCUUGAUCCAUGGACUAUCACGAUGAUACAGGGAGUCGGAUUCCUCGAUUCGGGAAUCCGGUUCGUUUCAGUUGGUAUCAGAGCCAUACUUGACCGUAGCACGAGCCUUAGACAUGGUCGGUAGACCUAGGGAAGUCUAUACGAUUCUAUCCACUUACUAUAACACCUUGGGCUAUUUUUCGUCGAUACCUUGACUCAGUUUUCCUCCACUCUUGAGUUAUUCUCUUACCUACGCUGACUCAAUUCUUACGUUCCUACGUAGGGUAGCAGCCGCGAUGACGACCACGAUGGAGAGUGUGAACCACGACCCCGAGCUGUACGCGGAGUACCACCAGAGGCGUGUCCUCAAAUGGUUUGAGCGCGUGGUGGAGCACAUCGGCAUCGACCUGAACUACGUCAAGCUCUCCCUGAAGUCGACCACCCCCCCAUACUACUCCAAGAUCGCCACACUCGUCGUCUUACCAGACCCCGCAGUACCCAACUUCGAGGGUAAGAUGGUCUACAGCUUCGGCGUACUCACCGAGACAGCCGUCCAGUCAGCCGCUAGGAAGAUGACGAUGGAGCUACUCGCCCAGUUCUGGCAGACCAAGUUUGUGGACUCUUCCUUCCGCCUGCUACCUCGGGUCGUCCUGCCCAAUGAAGAUCCCGAGGCUGUUUACUUGGAGAUGCACACUACUCCGGUUCAGGAGACCGGAGGGGACCAGCCCAUGGUCCACACCACCGGUUCUUACCUCUACGACCUGGACCACCUAGCUGUGAACCUUUCCCUGGAGAGCGAGCAGCUCCACCAGGGAUUCUACGAGAGUGUGAGGCACAUCCACGUUCUGCAGCACGAGAUUCAGGGAUGGAACCAGAUCUACACCACAGCCCGGUGAGAGGCCCGCCGCAACCAGGUGUGCUACAUGGAGGCGAACAUGAUGCGUCAGACCCAGACCCAGCAGAGGAUGGCCGCCGAAGCAAAGCUACUCCAGACCGAGACCGAGCUCCAGAAGCUCCGGGAGGAGAAGGCCGAGUGGGAGCUCAAGGAGAAGGACUACCUCGCCACCAUCAGCAAGCUCAAGGAUCAGGCAACCGACAGUGAGGUCGAGUGCCGCCAGUUGCAGACCCAGGUGGACGAUCAGCAGGACUUCAUGACCCUUCACGGCUACCUCGAAGCUAAGGUGGAGGAUCGGGUGAAGGAACUUGAGACCAGGUUGGAGAGGAACAAGAAGAACAUCGCCUUGCUGACCCGCACUGCCGUGUACCUCCGCGACAAGGCCGCUCGCGCCUUGCAGACAUGGGAGAUUUCCGACACAAUCCGCAUCGACGAGAUCCACGAGCUGAGGAACCAGCUACCCGAGGAGAGCCAGCGCAUGGUGAGGAAGGAGGAUUUCAAGCUCAUCCCCAUAGAGCUUCGCCUACACUUGUGCCCCCACGAGGAGAUGCCGCCCGCGAUCGAGACCGAGGAGGUGGUGGAGGCCGUCGCAGCCAUCGACGCCAUCUUCCUGGAGGACUACCCGGAGGACUACAAGCGCGUGCUGUCCUACAAGAAGCCGCGCGUCACCAUCUACUAGGGAGUGGGUCAGUGUCUUAGGUAGGGGUAGAUGUAGGAUAAGUAGCCACCGAUGGUCCAUUCCGGCGAGGGUUCCCAUGAGUCUUGUUCUGAGCCGAUGACAUGUUUCCGGCUAGCGUCCUAUGAUGUCACAAGAUCAGGUAGACACGAUAGGAGUCGCCACCUUUUUGUAAGCAUUCACAAUGUGUUCUUAGAGUAUGAGUUGAGGGCGUUAUCUUGAAGGCGUAUGUGUUGACCUCGAGAUAACACCGGUGUUUCCUUGUACUACCUGAAUGAUGUCUAAAUGGAUGGGUGUUGUUUCUUUUUAUUCUCGCAUCUUUUGGAUAAUUGCUUUUAUUCUGAAUGUUAUUGCUUCUUAUUCUUGCAUCUCUUCAGAUAAUAGGCAUGUUUUGCCCUUGUGUGUAUUCUUUUACUUUGGGUGGUGAGUGCCGACGUUUACACGAGGGGAUUCCCCCUACAUCCUAUACAGGAAAUGUCGAUCUGGAGAUCCGACCGCUUGAUGGCCCGCUUCGAACAAGCCGCUCAGGAGGAAGCCGCAGCCGAGGCACGCGGACGAGGCCGCCCGUUUGGCCGUGGCCGAGGACGUGCUUCCCCAGCACGUGCCCCGGCAGCAGGACGUGGAAGAGGCAUAGGACCUACCACGGGUGCCGCACCCCGCGUUCUUGGGGUGGCACACCGUGGAGACGAAGCCGAUGAGGAGGAGGUCGAUGAGGAAAUCAACGCUGAGCCCGCACAGCAGCCACCGCCACCACCGCCGAUGCUCGCGGAGAUCGUGGACAGGCAGACUCAGCUACUCCAGUGCCUGGCCGAGUCAGUUGAUCAGAGGAACCAAGGGGCCCACCAUCAUGGACCGCCUGAAGAGGACCUCCAGCGCAAGAUCGAGAGGUUCAUCCGCCUGAAGGCCCCGACUUUCAGCUACGCCGAGGACCCCUUGGAGGCCGAUGACUGGCUAAGGGUGAUCGAGACCAAGCUGGACCUCACCAACUGCACCGAUGAGGAAUGCGUCGCACUCGCCGUUCACCAGCUCGAGGGUACCGCCAAGUCAUGGUGGGACAGCUACUGUGACUCCCACAACGACCCAGCACACAUCUCAUGGGAGGAGUUUGCCAGGGCAUUCCGUGAGCAGCACGUGCCCCGGCAAGUGAUGAUUCAGAAGGCCCAGGAGUUCCGUACCAUGACUCAGGGUACGAUGAGGGUGGAGGAGUACGAGCGCCACUUCACCAAGAUGAUGAGGUACACUGCAGACGACACCAACAUCGAGGAGAAGAAGCAGUUCUGGUUUCUCCGAGGACUAUACCACGGCAUCCGUCAGAUUGUGACGGGAUGCGAGUACCCAUCGCUCCGCAGCUUGGUCAACCGUGCCAUUGCUGUGGAGAGGGAGAGAUUGGGAUGGGAAGACCGUCAGCGCAACAAGAAGCGCCAGACCGACCACCAGGUACGAGACCGGCCCUUCCAGAAGGCAAGAAACGCGCCACCCCUGCCACCGAGGAGCGGUUUCCGUUCCGGCUCCAGUCAGCCGAGCAGGAACUACGGUGGGGGAGGCAACCUCUACUCCGGCAACAAGACCCACGGAGGACAGAACCAUGGAGGAGGCAGCUACCACCGCCAGCAGCCGGCACAGAGGACCAACAGUGGCUCGACGCCAUUUGUUUGCUUCACUUGCAACAAACCGGGCCACAAGUCCUAUGAGUGCCCCGAGAAGAAGACCUCGACUCCAGCUCGCGUGCCUGGCUCCGCCGGCAGGCCCGCUCAAGCCCCGUGCUCCGCAGACCGCGGCCGCCUCACCCACCUGACCGAGGAGGAGGCCUGGGAUGCUUCCGAUGUCGUGACAGGUGAGUACCUUAGCAACGGCUCUAAAGCCUUGGUGUUGUUUGACUCUGGAGCCACUUGCUCCUACAUCUCUUCGAAGUGUGUUGCACAAAAAUCCCUUCCGAUGACCCCGAGAAGCCAUCCUAUCAUCACUAGCUCCCCGCUGGGGGAUCAUAGGUGCACACUAGCAUGUAGGGGAGUGAGAAUCAUGAUUCAGGGACUGCCGUUCACAGCUGACUUGACAGUACUGCCAUCAGAGGGGAUAGAUGUCAUUUUGGGGAUGGACUGGUUGACUGCACACAAGGGUUUUUAUAUCUUGCUCGCCCAGAUUGGUGACACUGGAACACCCUAGUGGGAAGAAGAUCGAGGUGGAACCGUUGAAGCCCCGAGAUGUACCUCGAGUGUACAAUUUGAACAACUUAGAGAAGAGGACACUCGAAGACGUGCCAAUAAUUUGCGAGUAUCCUGAUGUGUUUCCCGAGGAGCUGCCAGGUUUACCACCGGACAGGGAUGUUGAAUUCGUAAUCGACCUUGUGCCAGGGAUGGCACCGAUCACGAAGCGACCCUACCGCAUGUCCGCAGAAGAGCUCACUGAGUUGAAGACACAGCUGAGUGACAUCCCGAAAAUCUAACCCAGGGUUUACGCGCUAAAUCUUCGUUUCGCCAAAACCCUAAAACCCCCCUGAAACCCUAAUUUUUUCCGAGACCCGAAACCGGCAACCGAAUCCAACCGCAGUCACGCCAUCUUUUCCCUCGUUCCGCGUGCGAACGCCGCACGCGCGUGGCCGACCAGCCGCGGUCACCGCCGCGAGUUCCGCCGCGCGGUCGCCGCCGCGAAUCCCGCCGGCGCGCGUCAAUCCCUCCCUUUUUCAUUAUUUCCUUCCCCUUUUCUUUUCUUUUUUUUCCUUUCUCCUUUUUCCUAUUUUCCCUUUUUCCUUCCCCACCUUUUUCCCCUUUUCUUUUCUCUUCUUUUUCCCCUUUUCUCCCUUCUCCCUCCUUCUUUCUUCCUCCCUGUUCCCCGCUCCCGAGACCCUGCUCCCGCGCGCGUGCCUGGCCGCACCCGCCGCGCCGGCCACCGGCCCCCCCUCCCCUCGCGCGCGCCUGUGCCCGGCCGCCCGUACCCGCGCGUGCACCACGUGCCGCGCCGCCCGCCGUGCCGCCCGUCGCUGGCGCACGCGCGCGGCCGCACGGCCGCCGUGGCGCACACGCCGCCGCCCUGCCCCGCCCGCACUCGCCGCGCCCCCGCCGCUGUGCCGCCUCGCCCGCCGUGCCGCCCCUGUGCCCGCACACCGCCGCCCGGCCCCCCACGUGCACGGCUGUGCACGGCCGCGCCCCCGCCGCAAGCCACGGGCGCCAUUAAUGGCCGCCCGUGGAGCCGCCCCGCCGGCCACCGCCUCCCCGUGCCGCUCGGCCGCCUAUAAGUAGGCCGGCCGCGGCCUCUCACCCCCCACAAGCCUCCACCGCCGCCCCUGCCUCUCCCCCGCGCUCCACCGCUGCCCCGCCGAGCUCCCGAGCCGCCGCCGCUUGCCACCGCCGGCCCGCCGCCUCACGCCGCCCCGGCCCGAGGUAAGGCCGGGAAUCGAACCCCCUUGCCUCCCUCUUCCUUUCCCCCCACGCGCCCGAGCCGCCCGAGCCCCGGCCGCCCGGAUCGAGCCGGCGCCGAGCUCUCCCCCUCCCUCCUCUGUUCUUGCGGGCAGGAGGAAGAAGAAAGGGGCAUUUUGCCCCCUAGCCCCUCCCCUUUUUCCCAUUUUGUUAAGAGCCCUCCCACCUUUGUAAAACUUGCAGAAAAGCCCUUGGUUACUAUUUCUUUUCAAAUCUAAUCCCUCCACCCUAUAUUAUUAUUUCCAAAUAGACCCCUCACACUUUUCACUGCCCCCUAAUAUUUCUAGGAUUAGCAAAUAAGCCCUUACCCCCUUUAGAUAAUUACGAACAAGUCCCUGGACCCCCGUUUAAGCCCUGAAACCACCUUUAGCGCGUCAUUUUAUGUGCGAAACGACCUCCGAUCGACCCGAAACUUUACCACGCCCUUUCUAGUAUAGUUGUAGUCAUGCCAUUAAGAAACCACCCAAAGAUAUCAUCCCUAACUCCGUAACUAAAUUAUUUCCGAUUCGAGCUCAACGAUAAAAGCUUUCAGUUCUUGUGCUUGAUUGUGUGUCUGUUUGUUUGCGUCGUAGGACACGGAGUGAACGAGGAAGGCCUCGACUGUGAUCAAGCGAACGAGAACCAGUUCCGCGACUCCAAGCUCGAGGGACAGUGCUACGAUCAGGACCUCCCGCAAGAGUUUGACGAUGGCAAGUUCAAUUCCGCCCUUUGAUGCAUGUUUCUGUCCUAGUUUUUAUAAACACAACCCAGUGGCCUGUUUUAAAAAAUUGCAUAGUUUUGCGUGCUGAAAACAUGGUAGGAUAGCCACCCUUGUUUGAGAUAACCCUACCUUGACCACCUGAUUUUACAAAGAAAAUGUGUGUGUGUGGGAAGGGAUGAAAUGUGGUUUUGAAAGACGAGUCGGACGGGAUGGAUGGCAUUUCUGUGUGAAUUGCCGUUGGUGUGCUCGUACCUGUGUGGUAGGGCAAGGAAGGGAGAUAUCCAUCCUGUCACCCCUAAGGACCGAGUUGAUGUGACAUCUCACCUAGCUUCUCGUCGUGCGAACCACUUGACCGUUGUAUGGGCAACGGCUUAGCAUAAAUCCCACUAGUUAGCCUGAUAGUCAUCAGGAGAGCUGAGAGCAACGGGUGAUCAAGGAGAAGGGAUAAGCUCUGUGUGACUUAUACCCUGGUCAAACCUCGGAGAUAGGUCGAAUGACCCCUUGGUGGAUCCCGUGAUGGCUUGUCAGGUCUAGCUAAGGUGGGUAAUGGCUUUGUUGGGAUCUGCACCGACACUAAGGUGAUCGUGUUGUGGUACCCCACCUGUGGGUAAAGUUGUACACCUCUGCAGAGUUAAAAAUCUAUUCGAAUAGCCGUGCCCACGGUAUUGGGCAAGUUAUGGUGUGGUCACAUAACUAGUGUUUCUCUUUGGGAAUGGUUGGGCUGGCGUGAGUUGUUUGGAAAGUGUCCGGCAGUUAUGCCGUGUGCUACGGCGGACGGGGAGUCCGGUAGCAGUUUAAAACUUGGAUCCUGUGUGGAUCAACAUCGUGUAUUCUUGGUGCCAGAAAACUCGUUUUGGAAAUGGAUUUUAAACGAACCCUUGCAUACAAUUGAGUUUUUCGCAAACGAACCAUAACCUACCCUUGUAUCGUCCUGUGCAUAUGAUUACUGUUAUACCCCCCUUCCGUGGGUGCGAUUGGACUUGCUGAGUACGUUUGUACUCACCCCUUUCUUACUUUUACAGUGGAAGACCCAGACUACGUCCCCGAAGACAACGAGUAGGGUUUCGUCCUGCACCCAGUCUUGCCUGUGGUUGAGGCCACCGUUGGAUUCCGCAUGGCGCAAGACUCUGAUGAUCCUCUUUUCGUAACUAGUGUAGUGGUGUGGGUUUUAGUUGUAAUCCUCGCGAUAGUGGCGCUUCACUGCCCAUUACCGCGAAGAGUUGUACGGUGAUGUACCAUCUGUUGUAAUAAAAGUGUUAUCAGCCUCCUGGGACUGAUAAAUUAACACUUUUAAGUCUUCCCUGAUGGGGGGACGCUUCAAAGGACCUGCUAGAUAAAUAGUACAUCAGGCCUAGUGCAUCGCCAUGGGGAUCACCCGUGUUGUUCGUGAGGAAGAAGGAUGGAACCACGAGGUUAUGCAUCGACUACCGAUCGCUGAACGCCGUGACCAUCAAGAACAAGUAUCCGUUACCCAGAAUCAAUGAUCUGCUUGACCAGUUGAGAAAGGCCAAAUUCUUCAGCAAGAUUGAUCUGAGAUCCAGGUACCAUCAGAUGAAGAUCCGGGAGUGUGACAUCCCGAAGACAGCAUUCGUGACUAGGUAUGGCCAGUACGAGUUCACCGUAGUAUCUUUCGGACUGACCAAUGCACCCGCCUACUUUAUGAACAUGAUGAACAAGGUGUUCAUGGAAGAAUUGGACAAGUUCGUCGUAGUCUUCAUCGACGACAUCUUGAUCUACCCCGAGACCGCCGAAGAACAUGCUGAGCACCUGAGGAUAGUGCUUGAGAGGUUGAGGCAGAAUCAGUUGUAUGCCAAGUUCAGUAAAUGCGAGUUUUGGCUAGAGAAGGUUGCUUUCCUAGGCCACGUGUUGACUGCAGAUGGGGUUGCUGUAGAUCCCGAGAAGAUCGAAGCAGUGUCAGAGUGGCAGCAGCCGAAGAGUGUUACCGAUAUCCGAAGCUUCCUGGGUUUGGCAGGCUACUACCAACGAUUUAUUGAGAACUUUUCCAAGAUUGCCAAGCCUAUGACCGAGCUACUCAAGAACAACGUACCGUUUGUAUGGUCACCCAAGUGUGAAGCCAGUUUUCAAGAGCUCAAAUCCUGACUCACUACUACCCCAGUCCUCACUCUUCAGGACAUCCGGAAGGACUUCGUAGUCCAUUGUGACGCUUCUUGUCAAGGCCUGGGUUGUGUGCUGAUGCAAGACGGCAAAGUUGUUGCAUAUGCCUCCCGGCAGUUGAGGAAACAUGAAGAAAACUACCCUACCCACGACCUUGAACUCACAGCUGUAGUGCACGCCUUGAAGAUUUGGAGGCACUACCUGAUUGGCAACAAGUGCGAUAUUUAUACCGAUCACAAGAGUCUGAAGUAUUUCUUCACUCAGGCAGAGCUGAAUAUGAGGCAGAGGAGAUGGUUAGAGCUGAUCAAGGACUACGACCUGAAUAUUCGGUACCACCCCGGCAAGGCUAACGUCGUAGCAGACGCCUUAAGCAGGAAGCACUAUUGCAGCAAUCUGAUGGUUCGUGACGAGCAGCUUGCACUGUGCGAUGAACUCGAGAGGCUGAAGUUAGAAAUAGUAGAGCAGGGGCACCUGAAUGCAAUGACAGUCAAGUACGAUCUAGAGGAUCGAAUUAGGCAAGCUCAGCGACGAUGCCCAGAACUUCAGAAGCUCAAGCGAGCAAUGCGAGAUGGAAAAGCGACCGACUACAGGGUCGACGACCAAGGGACCAUAUGGCUGAAAGAUCGCAUAUGUGUACCCCAGGAUCAAGGGAUCCGUGCCGAGAUUCUGGAUGAAGCACAUAACUCCAAGUACACCAUACACCCAGGGUGCACGAAGAUGUACCAAGACUUGAAGGACCGUUUCUAGUGGAACGACAUGAGAACGGACAUAGCCGAAUUCGUGGCUAAGUGCGACAUUUGUAGGAGAAUCAAGGCUGAACACCAGCGCCCUGCCGGUCUAUUGAAACCACAUGAUAUUCCCAUAUGGAAGUGGGAUGACAUCUGCAUGGACUUCAUAACAGGAUUACCCCGGACUCAGAAGGGCAAUGACUCCAUUUGAGUAAUUGUUGAUCGUCUAACCAAAGUGGCACACUUCAUCCCCGUCAAGACCACGUACACCGUGAGUCGACUAUCCGAACUGUACGUGGAGAACAUCCUGAAACUCCACGAGGCACCACGAAGUAUAGUAUCAGAUCGAGGCCCUCAAUUCACCGCAAAAUUCUGGCAGAGUUUACACAAGUCCCUAGGGACUCAGCUAGAUUACAGCACCGCCUUUCACCCCCAAACCGAUGGGCAGACCGAGAGAGUGAACUAGAUACUCGAGGACUUACUUAGAGCAUGUGUGUUAGCCUACGGAAGUGAUUGGGAAAAGAGUUUGUCCUAUGCUGAGUUCACGUACAACAACAGCCAUCAGGCCAGUUUACGGAUGUCACCCUUCGAGGCACUUUAUGGCAGGAAAUGCAGAACGCCCCUAAUGUGGUCGAAAAUCGAGGAGAGAUCGUAUUUUGGUCCAGACUCAAUCAUAGAAGCUGAAGAAAAUGUCGCCAAGAUCAGGGAAAACCUGAAGAUAGCACAGAGCAGACAGAAGAGCUACGCCGACAAAAGAAGGAGAGACCUCUCGUUUGAAGUCGGAGACCACGUGUACCUGAAGGUGUCACCGCUCCGAGGCACCAAGAGGUUCCAUGUCAACGGGAAGCUAGCUCCGAGGUUCGUUGGACCGUAUCCGAUCAUCCAAAAGAUCGGAGGAUUGGCGUACAAACUGAAGCUACCAGAAGAACUUGCUGGGGUACAUCCAGUUUUCCACGUAUCUCAGCUAUGCAAAUGUUUGCGAGUGCCGGAUCAGACAAUACCCCCAGAUGCAGUGGACUUGCAAGAAACGCUUGAGUAUGUCGAGUAUCCCGUGAAGAUACUGGCCCGGGCAGAUAAAGAGACUAGGAGGACCUCCAUCCCCUACUGCAAGGUUCUUGGGAGUAAUCACACAGAACGGGAAGCCACUUGGGAGAAAGAGUCCGACCUGAAGGAGAAGUACCCACACCUUUUCGAGAACCAGGUAAACCUCUAAUCUCGGGGACGAGAUUCUUGUGAGGGGGGAGUCUGUAACAUUCCAUGUCAACCUUUAGAAAGUUUGUUUAACGAAAAUCGUGAAUUUCCAAAAACUUUUGCGAAUUAUCUUGGUUUGGAGGGAUUGAUGAAUUUUAUUUGAUUGGAUUUUGAAUUGCUUGAUUCAAAUUGUGUGGGAUUUGAAUUUGAAAGGGCCAAUCAAAUUCAAAUCCAAAACCUACCCUAUAAUACCCCUCGUGGGCCACCAGCCCACCGGCCAACGCAGCCCCAGGCCCAGCUGACCUCUUCCCCUUUUCCCUUUUUCCUUCCCCGCACGACACCGGCCCAGCGCCACCGGCCCAGCCCUUCAUCGCGAACCAUCACGCCCCUUCGCCUUCCUUCCGCCCGGGGCAGCUGACGGGUGGGUCCCACCCGUCAGCUUUCCCCUUCCUCCUGACCGCUCGUGACCCCGGCUCCCGCUCGCUCGUUCCGCCCCGCGUUGCCGCUCGCCCCCGCCUCGCGACAGGAUAACGAAACCGCCGCUCCCCUUUUCGCCGCGCCCGCGCUCGCCUGCGUCAUCCCGCGCGCGCCUGUCUCCGCUCCGCGACAGCGCAGCACAACCGCCACGCGCGCCCUUUCCCCCGCACCCCGACCGCCCGCGCCGCGAACCCUAACCCUAGCCGCGCUCCCUCCGCGCCGUGAUGCCGCCACGCGUCCCGGCGCGGACGCCAAAAAGCCCCGGCCGCAGCCGCACACGAGCCCCGGCGCCGCGUAUAAGAACCCUAGCCGCGCUCCUAAACCCUAGCCACCCGUGUCUCUUCUCCAUUCUGCCGUCGCCGCACGAGAGGAAGAGAGAGGAGAGGAGGAGGAGGAGGAGAAGGGCUCGAGGAGGAGGACGCCGACGCCACCCCCGGAGCAUCACCGCGCCUGCACCCGUACAACGACACCGAUGCAGCCGCGCACCCUGCACGGCCUCGACCCGCCGGCCUCGCCUCUCCGCUACCCCGAGCGCCUUCUUCUUCAGCCCCGCCGGUGAGCCACACCGCCGCCGUCCAUUUCUUGUCCCCCUGCUACCGGCGUGAUGCCUAGCGCCGCCGAGGAACCCUCCGUAGCCCAGCCGUAGGACCACCCUUCCCUUCCGGCCGCCGUGCCAUUCAUGUGCAGGGACCCGUCGCGCCGCCGUUUCCCCCGCUACCGCCAUCGCAUCAUUGCCGCCGCGUCGUGCCGCUGGCCCGGGGUGCCGGUGCCCCGCGCACGGCACGGCCACGCCGCGGCCCUGGGAUGCCAGGACCCGCGCGCGUGCGUGCACGCCAACGUCGCGGGGCCAAGCCGUGUCCCGGCCUCGCCGCGUCUCUGUUAGACCACUCCGAGCCCGAACGUGCCCAGCCUCGCCAUGCCUGCGCCACGGCCUCGCCGUGCGCGUCCACCCCGCGACGUGGCCGCGACGUCACGUUCGCGUCGCGGCCAAGCCUCUGAGGCCUUUCCCCGAGCACCCUUCGGGCGCCGCACACGCACACUGUGGCACGCACACACGCACGCCCUCCUGCCGCCCCGGAUCCAGACCCGCCGCACCAGAUCCCACGGAGACCGACGCCUGGGCCCGACCUGUGAGUGUGAAGGAAGGAGGCGGAGGCCGCCAGCGUGGAGGAGAAGUCGAAGGAGGAGAAGUCUGCCAGUGGAAGAAGAAGAAGGAGAAGGAGGCCAGUGGAGGAGAAGGAGGCGGAGGCGGAGGCCGCCAGCGUGGAGGAGAAGACGAAGGAGGAGAAGACCUGUCAGUGGAAGAAGGCUGAGCCGUAGGCCGGGCUGACCCCGCGAGCCUAAGUCGAGCCUGUUGGGCCUUGAGCCGGCCCAUCACCACUUUUGGCCCAGAACCAAACCAAGUCCUUUUUCCUUUUCUUUUCCGGCCUGACCCGAGGGGCCCACCUGUCAGCCUCAGGGCGAGGCUGAUCAGUGGGACCCGUUGACCGUGGACCCCCCUUGACCUUUGACCGUUGACCGGUCAAUGUUAACCGGUCAACGAUGACGUCAGCAGGGCCCACUGCUGACAUCAGCAGGCCUGGACCCCCCUGAUGACAUCAUGCUGACGUCAGCAUGCCACGUGGCACGUCCCCGGAUGCUGCCACGUGUCCCUGUUACCUAUUUUUCCUUUUUCCAGAAAUUCUUUAUUAAUUUCAGAAAUAGGUUUUCCCUUAAAAAAUUCAUAAUAAAUCGACCGGACCUCCGAAAAUUCUGAAACUAGUUCCAUAAUUCUUCUAAAAUCAUGAACCACCCGUUAGAGUAGGUAUUGUGGUGAUUUGGAUCUUAUUUGUAGAGUUUUAUGCAUAUUUGCACCUUGGUCCCUACUCUUACUCGUAUUUACGAAUAGGACCCGACCACGAGGAGUUGACCGACGGCCAGGACUACCCGGAGGCCCAGGAGGACUUCGAAGAGACGCCAGGUUCACGCCCAUCUACGAUUUGAAUUCCUAUUAGGCAUUGCUUGUAGAUAUGCUAUCGCUGUAUGUGUGCUUAUAUCGAGAUGAAUCUGCAUGGCCUAUUUUAUGUACCUUACUCCUUGCCAUCCUAUCUCACUUGUUUAUUAUAUGAAAUGCCUGGUAAAUCCUUGAAUGUGUAUGUGUGGGAAAUGGAUGGAUAGUCUUGGCGUGUGUGAAGUGGUUCUCUCCAGGAGUUGGUGAUUAGGGUUUAGCUGGGAGUGGGCAACCUAACUCGAUCAUGGAUCGAGAGCUUGGGGUGUGUAUCUGGGCACACCCUACGGAGUACUUGUGGCGGGUACAGUUUUGGUUAUGAGUUUGAGGUGUUAGAGGCACCCGUUAAGGGUGCAGUCGCGGACCACCGUGGUGGAUACGCUUUUGACGAAGAUGCCCGCUUCGGCAAUUAAGGACCGGGUGAGAGUAACUAUGACUUGUGGGAAUCUGUUAAGCGUACACACCACUUACCCAUUAUGAGGGUGGGCCCGGUCCGGGGUUAGCAAGCGCGGUACCAAGCCGGUAGGAGGAUCGAGUAUCAGUGCAGGGGGAGGAGGUGCUGACCUCACGUUCCCCGAGACGCAUGGGAGGCUUCACAGUCCCGGGGCGACCUCCCGUGGGAGGAUGCGCCCAAGACCCGGGAAAGCCGGAUGGUGCCGUGGCUCCUAGUUCCGUUUCAGUAGACCGGUGUUUCGUAUGCUAGUCGGCUGAUCUCCGGCUAGUGUCGAUUCGAGUGGGUCCAGGUGUACAACCCCUGCAGGGUGAAAACUAUACGUAUAGCCGCGUCCUCGGUCAUGGACAUCCCUACUCCUCUGUUGCUCUUAUUAGUUAGUGCUACUCAUGAAUUCUACCUCCCUCUAGAAUAACUUCCUGCCGGGGGGCAGUUGAGAUGCGAGGAGAGGGAGUUCUCGCAUCGACUUGGUGGUUUUGGAAGGUGUGUGUUGACCGGGAGUCCGGGAUGCCGGAAGGGCCCGAGUCGGGAACGAAAGAAGAUGUGUAUACUUAUAUAUAUAUUUACUGCAUGCAUAGGGAAACCCCAGUUUUACCUCUUGAACUCUGUUAUACCCGUAGUAUAGACCACGAUAAAGCCUGGUAUGAUGCAGGAUCCGAUCCGGAGUUCGACCCCAACGACGACGGUUGGUACGACUGAGGCUCGAGCUACGCUCAAGUCGCCUGUGGAGGAGGUUCCCGAAGAUGAAGGAUGGCCGAAGACCUAGCUAUCGUUUUGCGCCUUCUGCUUGUUCGAUCUAGCCAAGAGGCUUGUAAUAAAUUCCGUACUACAGAUCCUUUGGAUUUAUGUAAUAAUUAAACCCGUGUUUGACCUUAUGAUGAGUAUGACUGUGAUAUUAUGCCUGAAAUGAGUCCUGUAUGUGAUAGCGCUUGAUUCAUGGACUAUCACGAUGAUACAGGGAGUCAGAUUCCUCGAUUCGGGAAUCCGGUUCAUUUCAAUGUCGAUGCAGGAAGAAGUUCGCAGUGCAGUUCCACGAACGGUCACACCGGGAAGUAGACGAAGUAGUCAUUCCCACGAACGGUCACGCCGGGAAGUAGACGAAGUAGUCGUUCCCACGAACGGUCACGCCGGGAAUUAGACGAAGUAGUCGUUCAGGGAGCGAGCAGUCGCGUCAAGAUGCUCCCCAAAAACCUGAUUGCCCGCAUCCCGUGCAGGACCUUCAGCGAGCAGAGGUCCCGGAGACCUGCUCUCGCUAGAGCUGUGCGCGCAGCACUAGCGAUGGGAAUGGUAGAAAGCAGCUGAGGGAGAAGGGAGAGGUCUCCUAAGCAGGAGUACCUGGAUCAAGUGCUGAGGUGAGUGAGGAUGGGAGUAGGGGGUGGUUGUUUAUAUAGGUGUGGAGGUAACUCAGGUUCCUUCUCCUCCUCGCCCUCGGCAAGUACGCGCUCGCCGACCAUGUCUUGUGCGAUGCCGCCUAUCCCGCCGUCCCUCACUGGGUUAGGAUGGAUCUCCACGUCCUCUCGUGGAUCUACGACUCCAUCACCACCGAGCUGUUCGAGAUCAUCACCACCGCCUCGCCGUCCGCCCGCACCGCCUGGCUCGCCCUCGAAGAACAGUUCGUCGGCAAUCGCGAAACUCGGGUUGUCCUCGUCGACACCGAGUUCCGCACCUUGAUGCAGGGCGCGCUCUCCGUCACGGAUUACUGCCGCCGGAUGAAGACCCUCGCCGACUCCCUCACCGAGCUCGGCGAGCCCAUCUCCGACCGCCUCCUCGUCAUCAAUGACCUCCGUGGCCUGAACGACCGCUUCGCUCACCUCCGCCCCUACCUCAAGCGACAGCGGCCGCUUUGCUCCUUCGCCGAGGUCCGCUCCGAACUCCAGCUCGAGGAACUCUCUCUGGGUGCUCCGUCCACCGUCACGCCGCCCGUUGCUCCUCCGCCGUCUGCCCCCACGGCCCUUACCGCCGGCCCCCCAUCCCCUGCACCAACCUCGGGUGGGGGCCGUCGCCGCCGCAAGAACAAGGGGGCCAACGGAGGCCCUGUCCCUGGGGGCGGUGCCGCUCCCACCUCCGGCGCAUCUCCAGCUGCCGGCGGCGCUGCUUGGCCCAGCUUCUACAAUCCGUGGACUGGCACGAUCCAGACGUGGCCCGGACUGCGCCCGCCAUCAGCCACAGCUCCAUGGCCGCAGGCUCUCCUUGGCGGCCACAGCUGGGAGGAUGCACUGGCAAGGAGGACACUAGGUGUGGUGGGGGAGGCCGGAGGCAGGAGCGGGUAGAGCGAGCCGGUGCUAUUGCACCUGCUGAUCAAACACCUGGUCCGGAGGUCCUUCACAGAAAAAUCAAAGGGAUCAAACUCGACAGAGCAAUUAUUAUCGGUUGUAAAUUGGCGAACAGAAACAAGGUUUUUGAUGAUGUGAGGGGCGACAGGAACAUUGUUAAGGUGGAGAGAACCGAUAUGUGCAGUGCCGGUGGACAUGACUGGAAGAGCAGAACCAUCCAUGGCUGCCGCCUCCAGGAAGACGUCGCUCGUCACGAGCGCGCCCUGGCCGACGCGCAGCGCCUCCUCCAGGAAGACGACGACGCUGAUGCCGCCGCAGCCGGCGGAGGCAACGCCCCUGCCGGUGAUGACGCCGCUGACCCGGAUGUCACCAGCGUCUCCGCCCUUCACGCCCAGGCUCUCGGCAUCCUCAACGUCCGUGCUCUCAUCCCGACGGUGCUUGACCUCGCCACGCCGUCCUUCUCCAAGUGGUGCCAAAUAAUUGUCCCUUCCUAAAGGAUGCAUAUAUUGGCGCAAAGUCGUAACGAUCCGAGAGUCCUAGUCUCCUAGAUAGCAUUUGUGUGAAAGUGGAUGACCUUUUUGACCAUAUUGCCAUGCGCACACGUGUUUCCGUCAUAAAUUAUACUACUAUCCCAUGUGCAUGGUUCACUUACCACAUGCUUCCUUUGAAUUUUAAAUCCUUAUUAGCACGGUAAAAAAAUAUAUAAAUUGUAACAACAUGCACGUGGCUACACACCACUCUUUCAAACUUCAAAAUUCAAUGCUACACAUUGCCAGAGCCACCACACAAACAUUGCAUAACGAUUAUUUUUAAUAUAUAACUACACAUAGUUAUGCAUCACACAUUCAAAAUUUAAAAUCUAACAUACAUAAUUUUUUUCCCAAUGUACAUACAAGGUACCAUAGCAAAAAUAACACGAUAAUGAAUAUUUAUAUAUAUAUAGUUAAUUUUAUUUUUCACUUGCAGUUUUCAAGUAUUGUAUUGUAUAUGCCUUGUACAUCCGAGCUACCUUGGAAAACAACCACACUAACGAAAAUUUCUUAUAUUGUUAACUUUCAGUCUCUUGACUUACAUUUUUUUAAAAAAAGAUUAUUGUACAGACCAUGUGCAUCCCAGGUGCAAUAGCACAGCAAAAUAUAGCAUACAAUUUCAAAAUGCAAGCAUCCCCAAAAUUUACACGACUAGAAAAACUAGAUUAUCUACAUCAACAUUAAAAAUAACAUGUACCAAAGGGGCACUACCACAAAAAUGGUUUUUAGAGGCGGGUAAAAACAUAUUUCUAGGGGUGGAUGGGUACCCGCCCCUACUUCUUGCAGCUAGAAACAACUAUUUGGGUAACGCACCCGCCCUAGAAAAUCCAUUUCUAAGGCGAGUCACGCCUUCAGCCGCCCAAAGAAAUCGAUUUGUAGAGGCGGGUGUGGGUCAUGGCAUGACCUGCCCUACAAAUAAACUUUCAUGAAAAAAAUAGAAAAAUAGCAAAAAUAGCAAAAUAAAAAAGAGAAAGAUAUUCUAGCCCACCGGCUACCACCACAAGUCCCUCUACUAUGCACGUACAAUUUUUUUGAUGAAAUAUGCACACUUGUAUCAACCGGGGUUCGAAUUGUUUAUCUCCUCUCCACCACACUAUACAGUCACUUGUGAAUUUAUGAGGUAUGUUAUUCUUUUGUAUUAACUCUGAAAUUGAUUUGUAGGGGCGGUUGAUGCCAUGACCUGCCAUUACAAAUCCAUUUCCAGGAAGGAUCGUCACCCGCCUCUGAAAAUAUAUUUAUAUUUAUUCCAAAAAUUUAUUUAAAAACUUUAAAUAUAGCAAAAUAAAAUAAAAAAGUAAAAAUUUCUACACUAUAGUUAUUGUGAACUACAGAUACAUGAAAAAUAUACCAAGUAUAUUUCAGUUUAUAUAAAUAUAAAGAUUGUAGAAAUCUCGAAGUAUGACUUGAGUUGUAUGAAAUACUAUAUAGUAAUAGUCAUAUGUUGGGCAUAACUAUUAAUUGAUUCUUACGAUUAUAAAAGAUCUUAAAUGAAUAAUUCAUAAACUAUAAAGUUUUAGAUCUUACCAUUGUAACUUUAAUAUGGAGCUACUCUACAUCGGAGGUUGUUUGAAAAAAAAUAAAAAACUCUAGAUUUUAAAAUUAGAGAUCUUAUAAUAUUUUUUUAACUACUAAAUGACUCUAAAUGAAAAGUUAUCAAUUAAAAAAUUUUAGGUCUCAUCAAUCUCUAUAAUUUUGAUGUAAAGUUUGACUUCAUCCGAGAUUAUAUGAAAAAGUUACGAAUUUAUUUGUGUGGAGCCAUUUGUAGGACGGGUCAUGCCAUCAUCUGCCCCUAACAUCAUUUUGUAGGGACGGGUCAUAUCAUCACCCGUCCUUGAACAGUCAUCCGCCCUUUAACAUAUUUAGGGGCAACUGAUGUCCCUAGAAAAUGCUGUCUCAAGAAAUAGUAGCGAUUUCUAGGGGUGGGUGAUGGAUAAGGGCGGGUGAUGGGUAAUGGUGGCCAUAUCUAGGAGUAGGUGAUGACUGUCCUCUAAAAUGCAUUUUCAAGGGCAAAACGGAAGGUACAAUAACUUCGUUCUAUUUCUAGGAGUGGAUUACCUUUUGAACCGUCCCCAACAACCAAGCAUUUCUACAGAUCGAACGUGGGGUCGACAGGCACAAAUCAGUUUGAGAAAAAAGAUUGUAGAUACUUAAAUACAUCCAUUGAUAUGUCGUACAACAAGUCUAAGGACUUAAUUGCAAGCUAGCAUCGUCGCACUUUGCACACUUCCUCUCCCCUAUCUAUCCGCAUUUAUGUCUGGGUCCACUCCAACAGGAACCGCCUCGAGUCGACGUUACCCCGACCCGUCAUCCCAAACAGCGGACUCCCAUUCCCACUCCCACCACCUGAAACCCACGAUGUUCCCAUCGCGCUGCCCAGUCCCCCACACCUGCACGACCGCCGAGCCACACCCUACGCCCACGAACUUCCUCUUUAAACCCGGUAUGUAUGGAGACGCUGAACUCAAAACGAAUCAAAGCAACCCUUCGGGGGAGGAAAAAAGAAA